GAUUAUCAAAAUAUAUCACAUAAUCCAUUAUAACAAUAAUUCCACAUACAAAAUACAGAACAAAAAUCAUUUCUCUUCAGCAUGUAAUUCCUGUUGAGAUUCCAUCGAGUUUCACGUUGGUUUGGGUUGCAUUUGAAAUUUGCACAAUCUCUUUUGUUUUGGCCUUGAUCGUGAUGCAGAGCAGUAAGUUUGUGAUUGAUCCAUAUUCUAUUUAUAAUGAACUGAAGUUUUGAAUUGAUCUUUUCGAUUAACAACAACCCAUCUGCUCCAUUCGUAAUUUUUGUGAGCAAACGGAUACCGAAAAUUCUUGUAAGUGUUGGAUCGUGAUCCGAGGCUAUAAGGGGGGGUGAUAGCCUCUUUUCGAUUUAGACAGGUUGAUAGCGGAAUUACCUGUAAAUACUUAGCAAACAAAUGGUUGAACAGUAAUGAUAUAAGAAUAUUAUUAUUUUAUAGUAUUGCAAGUAUUACUCUUUGAAGCUUACUACAGUAAAUGAAUACUGAGUCAACUUGCUUGAUAAUGUUUCAAGUACAACUAUAGUAUAUGAAUACUAAGUUAUAUUGAAAACACAAAUUGUAUUGUAGAGUAAAUGACCAGAUAACUGGAUAUAUAGAUAAGCAAGUAAAUGACCAGAUAACUGGAUAUAUUGAUAAACAAGUAACUGACCAGAUAACUGGAUAAUUUGAUAAACAAGUAAAUGACCAGAUAACUGGAUAAAUAUGAUAAGAAAUAUAAGAAUUUAAAGCAAUAAAUAUAACCUCAGAUAGUUGACCAGAUAACUGGAUGAGGGAUCUGCGUAAAGUAGUCAACCUCUGUACUUGACCAGAUAACUGGAAGAGGGAUCUUUUUAAUUAUGUGUUGUUUUUUUAAGUGAAAGAUAAAACUAAAAUUAACAGAGAACAACACAAGAGAUUUAUACUGGUUCACCCAAACACGGGCUAGUCCAGUCCCGACCAACUGCCGGAUUUCACUCGCCUAAAGGUAAUGGCAAAACCUUUUCUAAGCUUUAAGGCUACUACGCUUAGGAACCAGUCUUUUACAGGUAGACUCACACCUUAGAGUAUUACAGGGCACUCUUAAGAACCUCUAACUUUUACGGGUAAGUUAGUACCUUAGAGUAUUCAAGGAACUCUUAAAAACCUCUCUAAGCUUUAAGGCUACUACGCUUAGGAACCAGUCUUUUACGGGUAGACUCACACCUUAGAGUAUUAAAGGGCACUCUUAAGAACCUUUCUAAGCUUUGAGGCUACCUCGCUUAGGAACCAGUCUUUUACAGGUAGACUCACACCUAAGAGUUUUCCUGGAAACUCUAUAAAACCAAACAGAGCUUUAUGGUUGAGCUCGGAAACCUUACCUCACACUUUGGUACUAUUGAGACAAACCUCUCAACCAAAGUGGACACACACAAGAGGUGAUUAGAGGAGUGGAAUAUCAAAGCAAACAACACUUCUUACUUGUACAAAUGACCAAGAAGAUUAGAAGAAGAAGUUGGAGAGCUUUUGAAGCUUUGGAAAGCUAGGACACUUGAGCACUUGGAAGCUUGGAAGCUUGAAGGCAAAAACGUGUGGACAAGUGUGGAGUGGAAGCUCUUAAGUUUGCUUAUGGUGUGGGUGAGUGGAAAUGAGGGGAUUACCCUUCUAUUUAUAGCCUUGGCCACUCAAUGUCCAUCCUUGGAUCUUCAAUGGAUGGCUCCUUGAUUUCUCACAUAAAUCCAAGAUUUGUCUUUGAAUAGUGUUUGCCUUGGAUAGUGUUGUGUCUCCUUGUCUUUGUUGGAGAAAUUCAAAUCUUUGUAAAUUCAAACUUGAGUAGAGAAUUUUACCGUUGUAGGAGAAUUCUUUUUCUUUGUAAAUUCAAACUUGAAUAGUGUUUUGUCUCCUUGUCUUUGUUGGAGAAUCUUAUCUUUGUAAAUUCAAACUUGAAUAGAGAAUUUUACCGUUGUAGGAGAAUUCUUUUCUUUGUAAAUUCAAACUUGAAUAGUGUUUUGUCUCCUUGGAAUAUUGUACCUUGAAUAAAGUGUCACAAGAUAAUAAUAAUAAUAAUAUGCAAGGUAAAAUGCAAUUAUUCCAAAUAAUAAUAUUCAAGGUAAAAUGCAAUUAUUCCAAAUAAUAAUAUUCAAGGUGAAAGUGCAAUUCUCCCAAUUAAUAAUAUUCAAUAUGAAAAUGCAAUUCUCCCAAUUAAUAAUAUUCAAGAUGAAAAUGCAAUUCUCCCAAUUAAUAAUAUUCAAGAUGAAAAUGCAAUUCUCCCAAUUUGACUUUUAACUUUGACUUAAACCCUUAACUCAAAUGAUUAAUGAAUUAACUAGAGUUAGGUUUAAUAUCGAUUGGCUUAUUUAACCCCUAUUGAUUAAUAGUGUAAUUAGGGUUUAAAUUGACAUGAUUAAAAUAUAAUCCUAUGUCGACAAUUUUGAUUCUACAGUAACAACAUAAUAGCGGAGGCAUACUACUAAGUAGCAUAACACAGUAAUAGGAGAGGCAUACUGUACAGUAGGGUAAUCGUAAUAGCAGUAAUACAAUAUAGUAGCGUAAUAACGUAAUAGUACUACAUAGUAGCGUAACACCAUAAUUGCAGAGGCAUAUUACAUAGUAGCGUAACACCGUAAUAGCAGAGGCACACAACAUAGUAGCGUAAGCCCGUGAUAGCGGAGGCACAUGACAUAGUAGCGUAAGCCCGUGAUAGCGGAGGCACAUGACAUAGUAGCGUAACAAAGUGAUAGCGGAGGCAUACUACAAAGUAGCGUAACACAGUAAUAGCGGAGGCAUACUACAAAGUAGAGUAACACAUUAAUAGCAGAGGCAUACUAGAGAAUAGCGUAACGUACACCGUAAUAGCAGAGGCAGACUACAUAGUAGCGUUAGACCGUAAUAGCGGAGGUAUACUACAUUGUAGCGUGACAUCGUAAUAGCGAAGGCAUUUUACAAAGUAACGUAACACCGUAAUAGCGGAGGCAUACAACAAAGUAGCGUACCACCGUAGCAGCAGAGGCAUACAACAAAGUAGCGUAAUACCGUAAUAGCAGAUGCACACUAAAAAAUAUCAGUUGACAAGGUCAUACUAGCAAAACUACAUAUUAACAGAAGCACAAUAUCUAUUUGGUAGGUAACAUUGGAUAUUAGCAGAAGAACUAUAGAUAUUAUGGGAGUUCGGAAAAAGGGUAACAACGUACGUGCUUAAAAUUUGAAUGUUUCUGGUUCAUAAAAUAAAUUAUUUCUGGUCCAUUUUAAUGAUUAGGAGAUGUUGGAUAUUCACCAGUAGAGGAAAAUUUUUUUUUCAAAUGAUUGUCAGGAGUUUUAGCAGUUCCACAACUUACAUUAGCGGAGUUAGCAGGAAUUUGAGCAGAGGAUUGCCCAAUAUCAGCAAAGGCAUUGGACAUACUAUGAAUCAAAAAAAUUGCUGCAUACGUUAUCAGGAUCCAAGGAACGAGAAACAUUGACACUGGAAUCUAUAGGAUUAACAUUGGUCUGACAAUGAGGGGAAUUGAAUUGGUAAUUCAUAUUAUUUGGUAUUUUAGCAGUUCCGUAGCUCAUAUUAGCGGAGGAUUCCUUAAUCUCAGCAAAGGUACAUUGGACAAAAUCCGACUGAAAAAUGUUGCUAGCAGGGGCAUCAGGAUCCAAGGACGUCGACAAAAUCAACGUUGGAAGGAAUAGUAUUGGCAUUUGUCUGACAUUGAGGAGAAUUAAAAUGAAAUUUCAAGCUAACGUUGCAAGAUGUAUUUGUGUAAUCGUAUGUAAACUGUUGUGAACGAUAUGGAGGAGGAGUCACGAAAAUUGAAUUGGUGUUGGGGGAAACUUGCAGGCUGGUAGGUCGAUGUUGAUUGCGAAAUGAUAUUGAAGAAGCCAUUAUAUGCUAUGGGGGAAGACAAUAAGUAUUCAAUGUAAGAAAAAUUCUUGUAGACGGAAAUUUGGCAAUCAACUACAGAAAUUUGAACAGAGGUAGACGGAAAUAAUUUAAAAUGGAGGGAGAGAGAGAGUGUAAGAGGUAGAAAAGAAAUUAGAAAAAGAAAUCGAUAAACAUUCCGGCAGGGAAGGAGGGGGGACGGAGAUACGACGGAGGAAGAAAAUCUUGAAAAAUCCGGCAGGAGAGGGAGAGACGACGCGGGGAGAAAAAAAUGAAGAAGAUGUAAAAAUGGAAUGUUACGUAGACAGCUAGAAAUGGAAUAUGUUGACAGCUUUAAAAAAAAAAAUUCUAAAUCAGACAAUGACAGAAAUUGAAUGUUACGUGAGAGAGGGAAAAAUAAAUGAAAUUGGAAUAAAUUAAAUGAAAAAAUGGAGAAAGGAUGACCUGUUGCAACAGGUAAAUAAUCACGGACGGAGAGGAUUGGUCAGAAAAAACGAAGGGCAGAGAUUAAGUUCGCAUAUGAGAACCCAAAUGAGAGGUUCUCAACUGAUAUUUUUUGUAUUUAUUUAAGAUUGGUAUAAAAAUCAAGAAGUGAGUAUGAAAAGGGUGCUACUGGUACGGUGCACAAUUGAAGUAGAAAGCUUUAUUUCUCACAUUUGUAAAGAAUUCAAAUGUAGAGAUUUGGAAAUACUAAAGCAUUUCUUAAGGAUGGAGGUGAGUUAUGAAGGAAAUAGAAUAAUAAAAAUUGACCAAUCAAGAUAUGCAUUAGAUAUCUUAAAGAAAUUCAAUAUGUUGACCUGCAAACCAUGUACAUCACGAAUGACUAAUGGUUUGAAACUAAUAAAAGAUGAAGGAGAACUAUUAAAAGAUCCAACAUCAUACAGAGUAAUGAUAGAGUUAUUGCAAUAUUUAGCUCAGACUAAACCAGAUUUAACAUAUGUCACAAAUCAAGUGGCACAAUUUUUAAAAGAACCAAGAACAUCCCAUUUAACUGCUGCUAAAAGAAUUCUCAGAUAUCUUAAAGACACCUUAAGGUAUGGUUUUCAGUUUUCUACAUAUAAAGAUCAGAACUUGUCUGGUUUCUGUGAUGCGGAUUUUGCAGGUGAUCCUAAUACAAGGAGAUCAACAACUGGUAGUUAUGUGUACUUAGGAGGGAACUUAAUUACAUGGAUGUCUAAGAAGAAGACUACAGUCUCAAGAUCAUCAGCUGAGGCUGAAUACAAAGCACUUGCCUAUGUAACUGCAGAGUUAAGAUGGUGCUCAUUCAUAUGUAGAGAUUUACAAAUGCCUAUUGGGCAUAAUCCUAUAGUCUAUUGUGAUAACACAUCAACCAUUUUCAUGGCUUUUAAUCUAGUAAUUAGACAAAAAUCAAAACACAGAUUAUCACUUUGUAAGAGAAUUAGUAGCUGUUGGGACUCUUAAGAUUAUUCAUGUAUGUUCAUCAGAUCAAUUAGCAGAUCUAUUCACCAAAGCAGUGAAUCAUAAUCUAUUUAAGUCACUAUGCAAAAGAUUAAGAAUGUUCUAUCCAGACGGAUAGUGUAAUAUUUAGAAUAAAGUAUUUAAUUUCACAAUUUUUUUCUUUUCCUUGUGUGUUUUAUUGUUGUUUCUAUGUGGUGUUCAACUAUAGAACAGAUAAGUGCAGGUAUAGGACUUAUGCAAGGAAAUCCAGGGCUAAGUAAUUAUUGCUCAUGAAUUUUUUUUCAAUCUAUUCAAUAAUUAGAAAUUACUUCCAGUUCAUUUCUCUUUCUACAGAUAACUGGAUCAGGAAAAAUAAAGCAAAUGCACAGAAUAUAUCCAGGUAUAUUCAUCCAAUUAGUGUAUUAGUUGAAGUGAUGACAGAGUUUUCCCAGAAAGAAAACAACCAUUGGGUUUUUUCAUCCCUCAUCAACUCAAGUAAUCAAUAGUUGUUGACAUGGAUGGGGCAAGUGGGCAGUAUUUGUCUAUGAUCAAAUGUUACAAAUUCCAAUUCAAUUAUAUAACAUUUGGGAAGGAAUGUGACGACAGUUGUUAGUUAAUACUAAUUCAAGUAUAUAACAGUUGUUGGUAAUAGUUGGAUUAUAAUACAAAUGUUAAUAGUUAGUAACAGUUGUUAGUUAAUCUAUUAACUAUAAAACAGUUAAUAGAUUAAUAUCUAUAUAAAUACAAACGUAUUGUAAUAGUUUGAUUAUUCAAUUUCAUUGUAAACAUUUUCUGUGUAUAACUUCAGCUUGUAAUCUUCUUGUGAGUUUGCUUCACACAAUGGACCAAGGGGAACCAGUCAUGUUGAACAUACUACUUUGGGUACACCUUUCAGGUUUCGAUAGUAAAUUCUGUAGCAGAGAGAUAGUAGAAAGGAUAGCUAGCACAUUAGGACGGCUGAUGAAUGGGCACUACAUGAUGAGUAGGGAAAGAACCACAACGAGGAUAUGCAUAAUGAUAGAUCUGAGUUUCUCAUACCAGUAGAAAACCCAGAAAACCCAGAAAACCAGAAGAGUAGAGGUUCGAAAAACAAAAGAAAGGCGACAUGCGCGACAAAGAAUGCCGACGUCGCUGGGCAAUGAUCAACAAAGAAUCAACCUAAACCAUCCAUAACCCUGGGAUGGUUUUUUUUGAUAACGGAGGGUACCUCUUUACAAAUGUAGAGCUUUCAACCUCCAGAUGAUAUACUAGUGCCACAUAAUAUAUCAUCGGGUAAAUUUAAGUGAAAAUAUAUACAAAGUAAGAUUCGAACCUUACUUUAUAUACAAAGAAACUUUAAUAGUUCCUGAGACCAAUGACCCAACCUUACUUUAUCCCGGGAAUGGCUUUCAUGGUUUAGAAUAUUGGGGGAUUCAAUCACGCUAAGAAGAGGCGUGAGACUAUGAGAGUCAUUGAGAAAUCUGAGGCUACGAUUUGUGGGUAUUCUAGAAACAAAAAUAAGGAAAGGAAGAUAAACUCCGAUAAAUACUUAUUUUGGACAGAUAUUUGGACAGUGUAUCGAACUAGAGUGCAGUAACCCCAGAUAAAGGUGAUUCCAUAUGGGUCAUCAAAACACAAUACAUUCAUAUGAAAUUUAUAAAUAGUGGAGGGUUGAUUGUAUUGGCAACAAUAGUGUAUGGCAGUAAUAAUGAAAAUGAAAGAGAGGAUAUAUGGGAAGACUUAAUUGGAAUUUCAAGAACAGUAAAUGGGGAUAGAUGGAUUUUAUUAGACAAUUUCAAUGAGAUUGGGACAAGGCAAUUACAAUGAUAACGGUUCUUGCAAAUUCAGAAAGGUUAUAAAUAAGGCUAAUUUAACAAGAUGCGAUAUGAAUGGAGCUGAUUUCCCAUGGAAUAGAGAGGCAAAAGUGAAAAUGGGAAAUGGAGCAGGUUAGAUCACAUCCUAUUGAACCAGAAGUGGUGUCAAUGCUGACCGGGUAGAACUACAAACACUUUCCAGACAGGAACUAGUGAUCAUUUGGCGUUAAUACUCAAAAUUCAGCCAAAAUCAAAGCAAAAUCCCCCAUUCAAAUUAUACUCAUCUUGGUUAAGUAGAGUUGGAUUUAGGGACAUAGUUCAAAUAUGUUGGUCAAAGAAAGUAUCGGGAUCCAUCACAUACAUAAUAGCACACAAAUGGAAGGUACUGAAAAUGGGAAUCAAGGUAUGGCUGAAAAAUCAACCUCCUAUCUCACAACAAGUGGCACAGGGAUCUGCUACACAUAAUCAACUCUGAUUUAAUGGAAGAUCCAAGCAACUAAGGAAUAUAAGCAAGGUGAUAAAAUUAAAUUUAUCUCCAUUUGCAUAGCUUGCACAUUUUAUCACAUCUUAAGGAUACUCCACUUCCUGUUGACACCAAGAAUGAGGGUAUGGGAGUGAUUGGCAACCUUAACUGCCUUGCCACCUCUUCCUGAAGAAAAUUGUGGGUAGAGCCAGAGUCUAGCAAGACAGAGACUCUUAGGUUAUUAAUGCUAGCUGAUAAUUUCAAAGUUCUUGGGCUCAAUUGACCUUGUAAAGAAUGGUAGCUUAUGUGAGUGUAUUCAACUCUUAUUUCUUCUACUGCAUCAACAAAUUGCUCCUCUUCUUCAUUCAAAGUAUUCACCAUCUGCAGAUAGUAGAAACAACCUUCCCUUGUAUUUAUGACCUCUUUCCCAUUUUUCAGUGCAAUUAAAACAUUCAUUCUUUGAUCUCUUUAUUCUCAUCUCAUCUGGUGUACGUGAGUUUCUGUCUUAACAUAGGUCCUUUUUAGGGUUUUCAGUUGCAGGUAAUGCCAAUGCCUUCUUGUGUGGUGGUAUGUAUGGUUGCAAGGAUCUAGAUGGCUUAUAAUUCAUUUCUACUGUUAUAGCUCUUGCAGGUGGGCAGUAUCUUACAAUAUCAGUAGACAUGCCAUUUCUCUCAUAAAGUUGGCCUAGAGCAAAUGCUUCUACUAUGUUUUCAGGCCUUGUUUUAGUGACAUCCUUCUGUAUCUCAUUUUUUAAGCCAGACAUGAACAUUUCCUUCGUAAUUCUUGGGUUAAUAUCAGUCACCUUGUUAGAUAGAGCUUCAAACUGAUGUUGAUACUCUUUUACAAAGCCAGUUUGAACAAGUUUACUCAAUCUGCCAGCAGGUAUCUCAUAGGUUGAGGUUCCAAAUCUUUUCGCCAAAUAAUCAUCUAGAAAAUCUGACCAAGAUUAGAGCAUUGUUGUUGUCAGCCCACAUGAGCCUCUCUAAGGCUUCCCCUUCCAUAUUAAAUGUAGCCACUGUGACUCUCUUCAUCAGGUAUGUUAUGAUACCUCAAAUAUUUCUUUGCCUUAUAAAUCCAGCCCUGAACAUUAUCCCCAUCAAACUUUGGCAUUUUUGUCCUUAUAAAAUUGUAUUUCAUUUCUUGCUUUUGCUGAAUUUGUGCCUCUAGGUUAUUUAUUAGUAACAAUGUUUCACUCUUUUUUGAUAGAGUCAGUUCCAUGCUUCUCAAUCUUUCAGCUUCAGUAUCCUAUUUUAUUUGGAGUCUUUUGAGUUGGACAUCCGUAGAUUCAACCAUUUCACAGAUAAUGAUAAACAAUCUGAAAUAUAAAUUGUAUCACUGAGUAGAAGAACAAGUAAAGAUAGGGAUGAUUAAAUAUGUCCCUGAUCCGGACCUCUUAAGCAGAGAACACGCUUUUGGAGAGUUUGUUUGUAAGUUUUAUAGGCUUAUAAAACCUUCUUCAGAUGUUCCUCAGAUAUGAUCAGUGUCCCGAAAAUGUAUCGCAUUCAAUAAUAGAAAAUGAUACAGAAUCUAAUGGGGUCUAUACGUUCCUGAUUAGGAUCUCUUAAGAAGAGAACAUGCUUUUGAUUUGUUUUUUUUUUGUAUUGCAAAGAUUAAUCUUCUGAAGAUCUUCAGAUGAUCGUCGGACUCUGAGCAAGGCCCGACUGGCAGGAGGGAUUGAAAGCACCAAUGAUAGAUGGAACUAGGGGAGGAUCAAAGGAAGUAUUGAGAGACGGCUGCAAUGGAACAAUUUCUCUGAAUUAAGGUUGCUUCAACCCAGAUUCGUUUUUUGUAAAACCUUAAAUUCAUUAAUUAAACAAAAAUACAAUAAGUUUGCCUUUUAUAGGGCUACACGUUUUAGACUCACGAUAACUAAAACAAACAUGCAUCCUAACAUAAGCUAACUAAUUAACUACUAUUCAAUUCAGUUCGAAUCCCUUUAGGCGCGUCGAUUGCGUCUUCUUCCUCACUGGUCGGCCGAUCUCAACCUUGCCAUCGUCAUUCUCUGUUUCAUCAAGUGCCGCCAUGCUCGCCUCCAUGUUCUGCUCCAGUUGUAGACGAAUGUCACCCAAGAUAGCCCCUUCGUCCAGUAAUUGUCUAUCACAAAGCUUAAUUGAUCAAGAGGAACAAGACAUCAAACAGAAGAGUAGAGUGAAUUAGUCAACAUUAGUGAAUGCCGACUUCAGUAAUUGGAAGAACGGGCGGCAUCGGUCCGCUCCCAGUAGCAAGAACCAACCUUUGUACUUCCUUGAUUGUUUUCGGGAGGACCAUUGCUAGGACUGCCUCGACUUUUUCCGUCCGGGGUGAUCUUUUGUAUCCAAGGAAUUGUCCCUCUGUCACCCCGAAUGCACACUUCUUGGCCAUCAGGCGUUGGCCCGCCUGUCAGAUAUUAUUGGCGAAAGUUUCUUCCAAGUCAGAUAAGUGGUUUCGUUCCGUCUUGGAUCGGAUCAGGAUAUUGUCCACGUAUAUCUCGACAUUCCUUUUGAUUUGGCUCGUGAAGGUCCGGUCCAUGAACCACUGGAACGUUGCCCCUGCGUUCCGGAGCCUGAACGGCAUUACCCGGAAGUAGAACGUCCCUUGUUCGGUUACGAAGUACAUUUUUUUUUCGUCCUCUUUUGCUACAGGUAUCUGGUUAUAUCCAAAGUGUACGUCCAUAAAGGUGAGUAGCGUUGAGCCCGAUCUUUUGUCCAUAAGGUGGUCUACCGACAGGAGGGAGUAGCUGUCCUUCGAACAUGCUUUGUUCAUGUUUGUGAAAUCAACGCACAUCUGCCACGUCGAGGCCGCCUUUUUGACCAUAACUAUGUUCAACAACCAUGAAGGCCAAGAUAACGGACCAGGCAGAUAAACCAAGCCUUGAGUAGCUUUGUAAUUUCUUCGUUUCCCGCUUCCCUCCUUUCGGUCCAGAUAGCAGGCACAUCUUCUGCCUUAUAGGGUGGGCGCCUGGUGUCAUUCCGAGCCUAUGUUCCACGGAGGUGCAGACCACACCAUUAUUGUCCUUCAGGUUAUGCGCGAACAUGUCUUGAUUCUUUCUGAGCAAUUUUAUUAAUCCAGACCUUAGGGUGGGACUAAGUUAUGCCCCGAUCCUGAUUUGACCUCGACCGUGGGGGAUGCUGGCUCUGGCCUGUGCACUUCUUCCCGAGUCAUAUGGGGGAGCCCAUCGCUUUCCUUGGAGGCUGCUAGUACUUCCUCCAUUUAGUUUGUAUAACAUUCUCGGGUGGUUCUCUGUGAUCUCUUUAUCGUGCAUAUUCCCGCAUUUGUUGGAAAUUUCAAGCACUGGUGCCAUGAUGACAUGACUGCUUGAAAUGCGUGGAGGGCCACUCUUUCGAGUAUGGUGUUGUAUCGCGAGUUGAUUCGAACAACGAUGAACUUUAUCCAUACUGUCGUUGUUUGCGUACCUUUCCUCAAAGAUACGGGGAUUGUGACUUUCCCGACCACCGGGAAUUCUGUCUGUCUGAAUUCUCGUACUGGAACACGGAAGGGGAUUAGGUCCUGUUCGCCUAGGUGUAGCUAAACGAACGUAUUCCAGUUGAGGAUAUUGAUUAAUGCUCCUGUAUCUACUAGUACUCAUUGUAGUCUAACCUGGCCAUCGUUCUUUCUUUGUAGUAUUGGCGUUAUGACCAGGAGGUCGUGGUGCGGGAUUUUAUGCCCACUAAAUCGGCAUCCGUGAAUGAGAUCUCUUCCAAUGGCUUCCUUCUCUUUUCGGGGGUUGCUGUGCCGUAUCCUUUGUGCACAGUCGGGCUUCUGCUGAGUCCUGUGCUCAUGAGGUUUGUCCACCGGAUAUUGUAAAAAUAUCCUCCACUUCGAGCUCGUCAGGUUCCACCUUUGAGGUUCUGUAACCGUUGGGUAUGACCGCAGGUCUUGACGUUGGGGCCAGGCUCGGGGUUGUUUUGGGAGUUUUUAGCUGCUCGAUGGACUUUUCUAGGCUUCUGUACUCCAUUGUGGUAUGACCCGAAUCCUGGUGGUAUUCACAGUAAUUUCCAUUUUCCCGGUAUGUCGUUGAUUCAGAUCUCAUCGGGCGUGCUUCCGGGGGCGCGCCUGCUCCUUUCGUGUUUGCGGGGCCCGACAUACGGUGCAUUCCCUUUGUUAUUCUGGUCCCUCAAGGCCUUCUUCUUGGGUGGGGGCAAUGCUUCGUAGGAAGAAGAUGCUCCCUCCUUUUGGUGCCAAUUGUUGUAUCCCCCACCUCUCCCCUUCUGACGUUGUAGCGCCUGCUUGAAUUUUGGAGCCAGAUACACCUCCACAUUCAUCGCACCUUAGGCUUUGGACAUGGCCUCGGAGAAUGUCUUAACUUGACCUUGUGGUCGAUUAGCUCGACGACGAACCGUGUCCCUCUUAACCUGUUGAGCAGAGCCAUUAUUAUUGCCAGCUCCUCGAUCUGCUUCCUCCAGUUUCUGGAACAUCGCAGUGAAUCAUUUUAUAUAGUUUCAAAGGGUAUCGUUGUUGCCCUUGGAGACACUUAGGAGGGUUGUUAUCUCUUUCUUCCUCUGGGUGCGGAACACGAAGGUUACAUGCUCCUCUGAGAGAGGAGGGGGGUUCGUUGCCCCUCCAUGCUCGAUCUCCUCAAGCUUUAAGAAGCUCAUCUCUUCCUGAAUUUCAGAGUCUCGGAUUGUCUUUCUGUUGCUCGUCAUUAGGAAAAUUGAUUUUUGAUUCACGUUAGGUUCACGUCGGAAUGAUGGCCUUUACAAUCAAGCUAAAUCUCUCUCUCUCUCACUCGAGUGUAGACUCUGUAGAUUAGAUAACCUACUGCCUACCUUGAGGUCGACAAUAUUAAUAGCCCUGCCAUCCUAUUAUCGGGUCGGACAUUGGUACUCCUGGAUCCCGGGCCGAGAUUAGAAAUUUAUUAGGCCAGACCCAGGUCGGGUUCGGGUCGAGAUCUAGGCCGGAUCCUGGUCGGAUUUGGGGUCGAGUCCACUGUUGUUAUCUUUGAGCUGAAGGUAUCAUCAACUAUAUUUUUCAACCUCAUAACUGAGCAAUGGAAGGCAAGAAAUUCCCUUCUAAGGUUGAUUGAUGACAAUGGGAACAAUCUGAACUCAAGGCAGGAAUUAGAGGCAAGGACAAUGACUUAUUAUCAGGAGCUAUUUGCAUCAAAUAGGACAGAGACAACAUAGAAUACAAUUCCUUGGAUUCCAAAAACCAUAACAUAGAGAAUGAACUUAUGGCUGAAAAGAGUUCCAGCAGAAAAGGAAGUGUAUGAUACCAUGGUAAGGAUGAAAUCAGGGACUGCCCCAUGCCCAGAUGGGAUUACUACUGUUUUUUUUAAAUAUUGGGGGCAAAUAAAAGGAGUUAUCAUUGAGCUGGUCAGAUCUUCUUCCAAGGUACUAUGGAUAUUGCAUACAUGAAUCAUACAUUCAUCACCUUAAUUCCUAAAGUCCAAAACCUAAAUGAAAUUUCCCAAUUUAGACCCAUUUCUCGUGUCAACACCACACAUAAAUUAAUUUCAAAAAUCCUAUCCAAUAGACUAGCAAUAUUACUUCAGAUAAUAUUGAAAAAAAAGAUUUCGCCAUUGGAAAAAAAAAAAGAUUUCGCCAAAUCAAACUGCAUUUGGGAAAGGUAAAAAUAUUUCAGAUAAUUCCAAUCUUGCGGAGGAAUUAUUGAAAGGUUUUGAACAAAGAGCCACCCCAAAAAGAGCACGCAUUACAGUAGAUCUAAGGAAAGCUUUUGACUCCAUAAGUUGGAAAGCUAUCGAGAAUACAUUGGUAGGGAUGGGUUUCGAAAUAGAUUUCAUUGGGAUGAUUAUGAAGUGCAUAACUACGAAUUCAUUCUCUGUAUUAGUUGAAAGGCAGCCAUCCAAAUAAUUUAGGGCUUAAGGCAAGGAUACCCACUCUCUCCUAUAUUCUUCAAUUUGGUGAUGGAAGGUCUAACUCAAACAUUUUAAGGGGUGGAUCAAAGAGGGGAGAUUCACAGUUACAUAAUGGGAGGGGCUAAGUCAAUAUCGCACCUAAUUUUUGUGGAUGACCUACUAUGCUUUUGCAAAGUAAAUAGGAAGUCAUUAGGAACAAUUAAGAGCAUAUUACAAAGCUUCUCAGAAUUUUCAGGCUUAAUACAAAAUCUGGAGAAGAGCGCAUUAUACUUAACUCCUUCUAGGCAGAGAGACAUAGAAAUUCAAACCAUUCUAAAUUUUCCAGUUAAAUGGCUGUAAAUUAAACACCUUAGCUUGCCAUUAGUUUGAUUGAAGAGGCGACUUCAAAACUGAGUGAAGAAUUUACACUAAGAAGAUUUGGGGAGCUUUCAUUUUUUCUUGAGAUUCAAGUAAAAUGUAUUGGGGAUACCUUGCACUUGAGUCAAACACAAUACUUGGUGAAUCAUUUCAAGAGUUAUGAUUUUGACAACUUGAAACCUUCCAUAUAUUCCAUGGUCACUAAUCAAGAUCUUCACUCGGAUGAACUACCUAUCGUUCAAACUAAAGAAUAUCAUCGGAUUGUUGGUUCACUACAAUAUCUCACGCUUACACGGCCAGAUAUUCAGUUUUCGGUGAACAAACUUUCUCCAUAUAUAGUGGCACCCAAACCUCCUCAUAGGAUAGCGUUGAAGAAAAUUUUACGUUAUCUUUCUGGUACUCAAAGGUGAGGAAGUACGAUUAGUAAAAUGUCAAAGUUCACUAUUUCUGACUAUUGCGAUGCUGAUUGGGGAGGAGAUACGGAUGAUCGUAAAAGGCAAACAUGUUUCUUAAUUUAUAUUUGUGAAAUCUCGUGCCUUGGAAUUCUCGUAAGUAAUAUGCGGUUGCUCGUUCAAGCACCGAAUCGGAAUACCGAGUUAUUGCUACAACUAUCACCGAGGUUGAGUGGAUUAAAAACUUGUUGACCGAAUUGGGGAUCGAGAUAGAAGGUCCCAUAAUACUUAUAUCAGACAAUUUGAAGGCAACACUUCUUCCUUCUAAUAUGGCUUGUCACACAACUUAAACACGCAGCUAUGGAUUUAAAAUAUAUAAGGGAAAUGGUUGAAGCAGGUUCGGUAGUUGUCUACUUAUCUCACAUAUUUCCGACAAGCACCAACGAGCUGAUAUGCUGACAAAAGCUCUUAGCCCAAGCAUGUUUGUAGAUCAUACGAGGGCAUAUUGGCACUAUUAUUUUAGGAAAUGUAUUGAUUAUUGACACUGUUAUUAGUAAUAAUCUAGUUUAGGAAACGUAUUGAUUUUCCAUUGAUUUAGAAAAUCCAUCACAAUCAAUGAAGGAAUCUCAAUUGAUUUAGGAAUCUUGUAUCGUCUUCCUUACCGACGACAACGGCUCCACUUCUUCACCCACAAAAAAGGUUUGGAGAUUGGGAGAAAAUUAAUUGGAAAAAAAUCUUAAUUUUUAUAAAAAGAGGUUUAAUGAAUAAAACUAUAAGGGUCAGAUUAUAUUAAAAUUCAAUUAUUAAAAACAAUUGUAAGUUUUUAUAGUAUAUAAAACCAUCAAACAUAUAUAAAUCAUAAAUAAUUAAUAAGAAAACUUUAAAUUGAUUUUAUUUCAGUAAUCACACAAAUUUAAUGCAUAAUCUGAAAAAUAUAAAAAAUGCAUAUCUUAUAUUCUUAUUUGUAGAAAAAGGAUAGUUUUUUUAAGUUUAAAGAAAUAAUCUCUAGAACAUACAUCAUGGGUUCAUAUUACAAAAAACGUUAAAAGGUAAAUCACAAAGUAUUAAAGAAGUAAACAAGAAUCCUAGAGUUCUACUGGGAAAGAAAGAGAAAGAUCUGGAGAGAACUGGAUUCGAAGGCCAAAGCACUAAUCAUGUACUCUUUUCUUUAGACUCUACUUCAUUAUAAGGUCUCCAAAAUUGGCAUCCAAUCCACCAACCAAUAGAGUUAUUAUAGGCACCAUAAAAGUUGAUACCUUGAUAUCGAUUUAAGAUGCUUUUGGUUUAUUUUUCUUUGAGAAUACAAGGAUGUUUUUUCCAGAAUUGAUCGCCAAUUAUAUCCACAUGUCCAACUAUAACCUUGGUUCGACUUCUUUUUAUAGGCUCACCAUUAUCAUCCAACUUAACCGUUUCUUCAACCUAGCAUAAACAAUAAAUCUUAAUUCAAUUGCACAAAAAUAGCAUGUUUUUUAUGUAAAAAUUAAGAAACAAAUGUUUUUCUCACCCGUUCUCUAUAAAUAGAAGAUCCUUUACGGAACAUAGCUGGCAAUUCAUUGUAAUUGAUUGAAUAAUUGUCGAAAAGAAGAUCAUUUUUCUCCUCCUUAUGAGUUCCCUGCGAAUGCGAUGUUUAUUACCUAGUUCAAAAUAUAAAAAAUAAGACUGUCUGCUUGGUAGAUAUAUAUGUACUUUUAAAAUCUCCUGAGCUUCCCCUACAGUUUUUCCAGUUUUGACUAACAUCCAGAAACAAGUGUUAUAUUGAUUGUUUAUGUGACCUGCAAAGACAAAAAUAUCAAGAAAAUCCGAAUUAUGUAACUAAAUAUGUCGAUUGAAAUAUCACCGUUCAUCAGUAUUAAUGAUAUCAUAUCAUAUCACUAAUAAUCAGAAAGAGAGAAAAAUACACACAAGUAUUUUAUUUUAAAACAUUUUUUAAUGGUAAUUACACUCACAAUCUGCUUGUCUCCAUGACAGAUAAUCUUUUAUCAUCCAAGAUUUUGGAUAGCAAACCACUCGCCCAUCAAAAUAUGGUCUAGAUUUCAAUUCUUUCUGUGGGAAGAAUUUUUUCCAAUUCAUUACAUAAGCUGAUGUGAAGAAUGAAACACUUAAUGAAAGGAGUUUGCUGCAAAUUUAGAAAUGAAACCAAACAAAAAAAAAUCAAGCUAGCAUUCCAUUAUAUAGAAUUUUCUAGUUAGCUUAGAUGAAGUUGAAAAAAAAAUAUAAUAUAAACUAUAAACAAAGAAUGUUUAAUCUUGAAGAAACCUUUCCCGUCUCUCAUAAAAUUCAGUCGUCUCCUUCCAAAUAAAACUGCAAAUGGAAACACAUUCAAUCUUUAAUUACAUUUUAUCAUGGAAAAGAGGAAGUAAAUAAAAAGGUAAUGUAAUAAUUUGUUUCAUCACCUAUAUUCAUCACUGACUCCAUAAGCGAAAACAAUGUCUGGAAAAUUCUCGAACAUGGCAGUCGCACAUGAAUUCAUCAGAUUCAAUCCACAUUCAUCAUUGGGUUUUUCAAAUUCAUGAUCACUUGUAAACCUGAUUGCAAACAUUAUGAGAGGGGAAAAAAAAUUAACUUCAAGAUUAGUAUUGUUAAAAACAAAUAAUACAAUUUAAGAACAAAUAUCCUAAAAAAGGAAGAUAAAAAAAAAACUAGUCAAACUACCGUUUGAAGUGGCAACCGUCGAUCCUGACAACGAUCCAAUUGUAUUGGGGCAGCCUGUCAUCUAGCUCGGACUUCUUUACAUACUCAUAUUUGCUAUUCGCCAUUCUACGACCAACCCUAACCCUAGAAUCUUUGUGAAAACACUCCUGAUGAGGAUUCGAUGUCUGUCGGAGAACUCUUCCUCCGGAUUAUACUCCUCUGCCGCUCAGCUACUAUUACCUUCUCUCUGUUUUCUUAUAUUUAACCAAAAUUAACUGAUUUGGGAAUUAGGGUUUUGUUAAAACUUGGGUAUAUUUCUAAUUUAAACCUAUAAUUUUUACAAAUAUAUCUAUAACCUACUAACUCCAGCAAUUUGACCUACAAAUAUCUCUCUCUCUAGUUAUCAGUCCCCUCCCUUGUUGGACCAGGGGGUAUUUAUAGGUUUUAUCCUUCCUUCUUGAUUCUCUGGGCCUUCCUUGGCCCAAACCUUUCGUAUGGUCGGGCCCGACCGUGGUUGGUUCGGUCCACGGUCCGUUGAUCGGGUCGUGAUACCAACAAUUUAGAUUAUCUUCGUGAUGUCACCCACCGUAAUAUCUAAGGUUAGAAAUAGGGGUGACAAUAACAGACACGAUUCGUAAAAACACACGACACGACACGAUUUUAACACGACACAUUUAUAAUAGUGUCGGGUUAGUGUCUAAAGUUUCGACACGAUUAAUAAUGGUGUUGGUUUAGUGUUUGUCUUAAAAACAUGAUGAUAAGGGUGGAUCCCGAUCAGUACUAGCGCGACGUUUCGAACAAGCGUAAGGCCAGGAACUCUGUCGGAAAUCGCACGGACACUCUAGUCACUCAGGCUCUUUCUGGCAGAGGUUCUUUCUCACUCCAAAAAUCUUAACCUCUAAUGAGUGAUGGUGAUCCCUAUUUAUAGGGUCCUUAUGGGGGUAAUUUGGUCAUUAGGACUCUAACUGCCCAGAUCUGGCCUGGGUCGACUUUUGGCCCUUGACCUCCUCAGAGGUCGGCUUGGCUAAAGUCGUCCAGUGGGGUCGACUUCAAAUAUUUUUUGACACCCUACCCAUAAUACUUGCAUCACACUCAACUUCAAAUAUUUUUGCAAAGUCUGGCAAUCUAAGUACUGGAGCUUGUUGUAGUUUUUUCUUUAAUACCUCAAAGGCUCUUUCAGCUUGAACAGUCCACUGAAAAUUACCUUUUUUUAAACAAUCAGAGAUGGGCGCAGCUAGCCACUGUACUCAGUGGUGUAUCUAGGAUUCUCUGACAGGGGGCAAGAUUCGUUGAAGGCGAAAUUUUUUUUUGGUACUAAUUAAAAAACCUAUACAAAUUUUGACAUGACCUAUUCAUAUAAUUGAUUAUAAAAACCUAUAAAAAAUCAAUACAUUCAUUCCAUAAUUAAUAUUCAAUGAAUUAAUUAAUAUUCAAAUUAAAAAUAAAUACAUUCAUUUAAUUAACAAUAAAAAUAGAUAAUCGUUGGAUCAGAAGGAUCAGAAGGAAGAUCAUCGGAAACUAAUGGUUUAGGAAUAAUAGAUAAUCGUUUUCUUUUACUUGUUUCUGAAAUAUCUUCUUGUGGUUGUGGAGAAGGAGUUGUCUUUUUAAAAUAUUUUUCCAUCUGUAAGACUGUAAUUUAAGAAAUAAUAUUCACUUUAAAUCUAAGAAUACAAUCCUACAUUCUUAAAUCGAACUAUAAAAUUAUAUAAGAAAUAAUGCAUAAAAUUAUAAAUCUAUCAAUUCUAAAAAUAAAAAAAGUAAUAGAACCUUGUUACCUUGGUAUUGAAGAUCUUUUUAAACUUCCGACAAAUGAAAUGACAAAUCCUUAAUUAACACGCAAGCGGCAAGCGUAGUCAACCUAAAAAAAUUCAGAAGCAUCUGUAUAAAAAAAAUAGACAUCUACAGGAGAUUGGGUGAUAUGUAGGUGAAACCUCAUCUUUAGAUUUUAUCAAGAAUAUUUAGUCUCUGGGUACAUUGUAAAAAAGAUUCAUCUAUAUAUGAUCUAUCUAUAUAGGGAGAGAGGGAGAGACUAGAGAGAUUAAUAUAUUGUGAAAUUUAUAUAUUAACUCUUAAAAAAUAUUAAUAUAUUGUGAAAAUUACACUUAACCCCCUAUAAAAAAAAUUAUUACAUAUAGGUCCUCGAUUUUUUUCCAACUUUUAGGGGGGGCAAUUGCCCUCCCUUGCCCCCCUGGAUACGCCACUGACUGUACUGAAAUCUCUGAUGAAUCUUCUAUAGAAGGAUGCUAAACCCAAAAAACUUCUUACUUCAGUAAUAUUUGAAGGUGAAACCCAACUGUCAAGUGCCUCUGUUUUUUUGGGUCUAUUUCAGACCUUGGACUCCUACUAUGUACCCCAAAAAGUGUACCUCGUAUACCAAAAAUUCGCAUUUUUUAGGUUUAAUUUCAUACUGUUAUCUGCCAACAAUUUCAAAACCUUUUCAACUUCUUUUAAGUGCUCAAUUCUGUCUUUGCUGAAAACUAGAAUAUCAUCGAAAUAUACUACCACAGAUUUAUUAAUUAAAGGUUUUAGUACCUCUGUCAUAAGUCUCAUGAAGGUUGAAGGAGCAUUGGACGUGUCAAAGGACAUGACUAACCAUUCAUAGAGGCCCUUGCUGGUUUUGAAUGCAGUCUUCCAUUCACCUCCUUCUUUUAUUCUAAUUUGGUGGUAGCCACUUUUUAAAUCUAAUUUAGUGAAAUACUUUGACCCCACUAAUACAUCAAGCAAUUCUUCUAAUCUUGGAAUUGGAAAUCUGUAUUUUACUGUAAUUCUAUUGAUAGCCCGGCUAUCGACACACAUUCUCCAUUCUCCACUUUUCUUGGGCACUAGAAAUGCAGGUACUGCACAUGGACUGAUUGAGUGCUUAAUUAAUCCAUCUUUCAUUAAACCUUCCACCUGAUUUUGUAAAAUCUCUGCCUCAGCUGGACUCAUUCUGUAAUGGGGAAGGUUGGAAAGUGAUGCUCCAGGUGUUAGAUCAAUUCUGUGAUCUAUCAAUCUGUGGUGGGGAAGUUCUGAUUUUUCUUCCUCUUUUACUGUUGGAAAUAAUUUUAUUAAGUUUGCCACAGCUGCCGAAAUACAGAAUUUAGUUGAGGCAGUCACCUCCUUCAAAACCAAUGCUAAACCUUUUUGUUUGACACUCGAUAAUUUUUUAAAUUCUGUUUGGACAACAACUAAUAGAUUAGGCUUCUCAGAAGUGUUCCCUUCGGGUGCAAGUGGAAGUAGAGCUACUUUCAACCCAUCUACUUUAAUUAUAUAAUGGUUGGUUCUACCAUUGUGUUGUGCACUUACAUCAUACUGUCAUGGCCUUCCCAAUAAUACAUGGGCUGCAUCCAUGUUAAUUACAUCACACAAAAUUUCAUUCUUAUACCUUCUACCAAUAGAUAAGGGUACUUUACAACUUUUGUUCACAGUUACUGAAUUUCCACUGUGAAUCCAUGAGACAUUAUAGGGAUUUAUUUGGUCUUCCACCUCUAAACCCAAUUUCUUCAGAGCCUUCCAAGAAAUCAGAUUAUCAGAUUAUCAGUUGAUCUAUUAUCAAUUAUAAUAUCACAUACUUUACCUUUAAUUGUGCUUCUAGUCUUGAAUAAAUUGUUCCUUUUAAUGUGUAGCUCUUGUUGAGGUGUAUGGCAGACUUUAUGGAUGAUGCAUGACAUUCUUUGACAUUCAUCUGGAGGUGUCUCAUCAUCACAUUCUUCCUCAGACUCAUCUUCAUCCAUGAGUGCUUUCCCCUUAUCAUCAACUAAAUUUGCUCUUCCUCUCUUAGGACAGUUAGACUUGUGGCUCCACUCACCACAUAUGUAACACUUAAUGUUAGUGUUUCUUAGUUGAUCAUUGGUUCUGUUAAUUAAGUCUAACAUCUUGUUGACUUUCAAAAGUAAUCUUCCUUUCCUAAGGUGUUGGUAAUAUAUAUGCCUUUCUCAUUGGGAGGAUUGAAUCUAAUGUUGGAUGGACCCCCAACAUAUUUUGUGAAUUUUUCAGCCCUUCUGUCCAGUUGGUCAGUUACUCUGAUGGUGUCCAUUAAGGUGUACUGUGGUUGCAUAAUUUUUUUUUUUGAAAUCUGCCCUUUAAUCCUUGAAUAAAUCGUGUUAUUAGUUGUUCUUCAGUUUCAUUCAAAUUAUUUAUUGAAGAUAAUCGAUGAAACUCUUUAACAUAUUCACUUACACUCCUAUUACCUUGGCAGCAUUGGUGAUAUUGAGUAAAUAGGAUACCUUCGUAAUCACUAGGAAGAAAUCUUUGUUUUAAUAAUUUCUUCAAUUUUUCCCAAGUCCGGACAGGUCUUUGAUUUGAUCUUCUCCUAUUAGUUACUGUUUGAUCCCACCAGGCAGAUGCGAGGCCUUUAAAUCUUAGCACUAUCCAACUUUACUUGUUGGUCUUCAUCAAUGUCCAUGUAAUCGAAAAAUCUUUCUACUUCAAUUAUCCACUCUAGAAACUCUUCAAUGUGUGCAGAUCCAUUGAAUGCGGGUAAAUCCAUUUUUAGCUUAUACUGACUUUGAUUUCUGUUGAAAUUUCUCGGGGCAACUUCAACAUAUUCAAUCUCAUCCAUUUGUUCUCUCCUCGUUGAUGGAGGUGAAACCCGACCAGUACUCCAAUACGCGCAAGUAAGCGCCAAGCGGGGAACUCCGCGGGAAACCGGACCGGAACUCAAGUGCGCAGAGCUCUGCUUCGCUAGGAAUCCUUCCGCUCCAAAUGACCUUCCUUUAAUGAGUGGGGGGUGCCCUCUAUUUAUAGGGGUUCUUAUGGGGGUAAUAUGGUCAUUUUGGCAGUAACCGCCUAACUGCCAAACUGAUCAGAUUGGGUCCCGGGAUCGACUUUCCAGAGAUCGACUUUCUGGGGGUCGACUUUCCUGGUGAUCGACUUUAUUCAGAAGUCGAUCCCAGGGAAGUCGAUCCUCAGGAAAGUCGAUCUUCCUUGGAUUCGACCUGGGACCUCCCCAACCCUAGAAUAGAUACCUUAACUCAUCUUAGGCUAUCCGGACUUCUAGUUGCUGGUAGGUUGUGACCGUGUUCGGGAUACUGUAUCACCAGUACUCCCCCCUCCUCUGCGUAUUAGAUACUUUGGGAUACGUCUUUUAGUACUAUGGUCUGUGUGUUGGACCUUGUACUAUCAGUAUUCCCCCUUCUUUGCGUGCUGGGAUGUGGAUUUUUGGUGAUGUCCCAGGAUGCGAGAUCCUCUCUCACCAGUAUUCCCCCCCUCUCUACGCCUGCGAGGUUGUAUCUAUGCUUCCACGGGGGUUGUCACGCGCUUUUGCCAACUAUUGUCCGGUUUGUCCUAGCCGAAGCAUACUCCUUGUGCACCUGUCUGGCCUGAUUCUCCCGCGGAACCCUGCUUGCCCACCUUGACGCCUUGCCUGAGCUAUCUUUGAGCAUUGUUUGGGUUCUCUUCCCUGUGGCGGGUUUUGAGAGUACCCGACCCCCUCCUUUUGCUCGCCUUUCUGCGAUAGGGGUUGAGUGCGAUCCCUCGUCUACCUGCGUUCAUCCGUAGGUGAGGGUUAUUUUUUGAAUACUUGCCCCCUCCUUUUGCUCGCCUUUCUGCGACUGAGGUUUGGGCGUGAUCCCUCGUCUACCUACGUUCAUCCGUAGGNNNNNNNNNNNNNNNNNNNNNNNNNNNNNNNNNNNNNNNNNNNNNNNNNNNNNNNNNNNNNNNNNNNNNNNNNNNNNNNNNNNNNNNNNNNNNNNNNNNNNNNNNNNNNNNNNNNNNNNNNNNNNNNNNCUUUUGCUCGCCUUUCUGCGACUGAGGUUUGGGCGUGAUCCCUCGUCUACCUACGUUCAUCUGUAGGUGAGGAUUAUUAUUUGAAUACUUGUCCCCUCCUUUCGCUCGCCUUUCUGCGACUGAGGUUUGGGCGUGAUCCCUCGUCUACCAACGUUCAUCCGUAGGUGAGGAUUAUUAUUUGAAUACUUGCCCCCUCCUUUUGCUCGCCUUUCUGCGACUGAGGUUUGGGCGUGAUCCCUCGUCUACCUACGUUCAUCCGUAGGUGAGGAUUAUUAUUUGACACUUGCCCCCCUCCUUUUGCUCGCCUUUCUGCGACUGAGGUUUGGGCGUGAUCCCUCGUCUACCUACGUUCGUCCGUAGGUGAGGAUUAUUAUUUGAAUACUUGCCCCCUCCUUUUGCUCGCCUUUCUGCGACUGAGGUUUGGGCGUGAUCCCUCGUCUACCUACGGUCAUCCGUAGGUGAGGAUUAUUAUUUGAGCUUAUCCCUCGUCUAACCUACGUUCUUCCGUAGGUGAGGUUUGCUCUUGAGUACGUCCCUCGUCUAACCUGCGUUCUUCCGUAGGUGAGGUUCACUCUUGAAUACUUGCCCCUCUGUCUACGUUUUUUGUAGAACGGGAUGUGUGUUUAGCCGAUGCGUCCCCCGUCUAACCUACGUUCUUCCGUAGGUAGGGUUUGCUUUUGAGUCCGUCCCUCGUCUAGCCUACGUUUCCGUAGGUGAGGUUCACUCUUGAGUACUUCCCUCGUCUAACCUACGUUCUUCCGUAGGUGAGGUUCACUCUUUAGCCGAUGUGUCCCCCGUCUAACCUACGUUCUUCCGUAGGUGGGGUUUGCUUUUGAGUACGUCCCUCGUCUAGCCUACGUUUCUGUAGGUGAGGUUCACUCUUGAGUACUUCCCUCGUCUAACCUACGUUCUUCCGUAGGUGAGGUUCACUCUUUAGACGAUGCGUCCCCCGUCUAACCUACGUUCUUCCGUAGGUGGAGUUCGCUUUUUGAGUACAUCCCUCGUCUAACACUACGUCUCCGUAGGUGAGGUUCACUCUUUUCCUUGGAUGGGAUACGCAUCCUGAUUCUGUUACCAUUAAGACUUUCUCUGCCCACGUUCUUCCGUAGGUAGAGUUAAUUUGACGUCCUACUUUGUUACUGCGUCCAGUAAUGGUAGGAGUUUAAAUAUCUUUAUAUGGCUCAACUCAUUUUGCUGCCGUAUCGCCGCCCGAGUUGUGGACUUCCACAAUUCCUCAGGAGCAUUUCGUGUCACACCCUCCUUUCUUGUUGUGCCUUCGUGACUCCAACUUGUCUGGGUUCUUUUUUCUGGCCCCCUUCUAUGUGGGAAGAAAAAGUCGAUCCCUUGUUGAGUUUGCUCGACUUUUGCGAAAUGUCGAUCCCAGUGGUGUUUGUUGACUUUUGCCAAAAAGUCGAUUCCCUGGGUCUUUGCAUCGCUUCCUUUGUGAAAAAGUCGAUUCCUGAUGCUCUGGUCCAAAAGUCGAUUCCUUGUGCCAAAAAGUCGAUUUUGUCAUUUUUUUGUCCUUUUGUGCUGUCCUAGGGUCUAUAAAUAGAACCCCUAGGUCCUCCUUUUCCUUCAUCCAUGACUCUUCUUGUGAGUCUCUUCGCUGAUUUUAUUCAGGGAGAGAUUGAGGAGUUGGAUCGAAUUCUAAAUAUUUUGGAUCCUCGGUCGUCAGCCUUGGAUCUUCCUUCUCUGCGCCAGCUUAUUGUUGAGCGGCAGAGUGUCGCUGUUGCUGCUAGGGAAUCCAUUUUCGAAGAAUGGUCUGGCGGCGAUCUUCCGCCCGUCUCCUCUUCUGUUGUCCCUCUUCGUGGCCGACGUCGGAGGCGUCCCCGUCGCGGUGCUUCUCCGCUGGAUCAGGUCCCUCGCCGCUUGUGUCGCCGUAUCAAUUUUAAUUAGAAACUUGUAAUACUUUUCAUUCAUCAUUUUUUUAAUUUUGAAUAAAUAUACUUUUUUACCUUUUCCUUUACUCGACUUACACCUUUACUCUGAAGUACGUCAGUGUAGUCGAUGCUUUCUUUUGGUCAACAUACUUUUCUGAAGAUGUCAAAAUUUAUACAAAAGUCGAUCUCGUCUCUCCCUGGAGAUGUCGAUGUUUGUAAAAAAAAAAGUCGAUAUCAUCUUUUCCUGAAGAUGUCGAUGUGUGACUACCAAUUCUAUCCUUUUCUGAAGAUGUCGGAUUUUUGACAACAAGUCGAUCUCAUUUCUCCCUGGAAAUGUCGAUGUUGCUCAAAAGUCGAUCCCAUCUUUUUCUGAGAAUGUCGAUGUCGUUUGGCUGCUGAUUCUAUCCUUUUCUGAAGAUGUCGGAUUCUUGACAACAAGUCGAUCUCAUUUCUCCCUGGAAAUGUCGAUGUUGUUCAAAAGUCGAUCUCAUCUUUUUCUGAGGAUAUCGAUCAGAAUAGUGCUGGAAUGUCGAUCCUGACCUUCUCUUUUGAAGGCAUCAAAUUCCUUGGUAAAUGUCGACGUCUAUCCUCCUUCUGGGAAUGUCGAACUCAAUUUUGUUUGGAAUGUCGAUCCUGUCCUUCUCCUUUGAAGGCAUCGAAUUCCUUGGUAAAUGUCGACGUCUAUCCCCCUUCUGGGAAUGUCGAUCUGAAUUUCUGUGGAAUGUCGAUCCUUUCCUUCUCUUUUGAAGGCUUCAAAUUCCUUGUUAAAUGUCGACGUCUAUCCCCCUUCUGGGAAUGUCGAACUCAAUUUUCUGUGGAAUGUCGAUCCUGACCUUCUGUUUUGAAGGUUUCGAAUUCCUUGUUAAAUGUCGAUGCCUUUUCCUGAAAUGUCGAUGCUCUUUCCUAAAAUGUCGAUCCCAUCUAGUCGGAUUUUGGGGUUUUUCUCGGACCGGGCCGUCUUGGGCCUGUCGGGCCCGUGGGCUUUCCGGCCCAACGGGUGAACCCGGAUGAACAGUGCCCGCGACGGUUCGUCUUCGACUUUCCCCUAUAAAUAGCUGAGGGGGGUUCACUUGUUUCCCACUCGCUUUCUUCGCUCCGACCGAUCGACUUUCUCGCAUCGACUUUCAGGCUUCUUCGCUUCGACAUCCCGCUUCUCCGCUUCGACUUCCAGCGCGCGUAAGGCUUCGACUUGAACCUUGGAGGUGCAGCUUUCUGGGGUCCGACUUUUGUUGUCGGGCUCUUCUGAGGUUGCACUGGGUUCGACUUCCUUGGGGUCCGACUUUUCUGAAAGUCGGUCCUUUUCGACGUUGUCCCCCUUUGGACUGUGGUCCGACUUUGUGAGGUUUUGACGCCUUGUCAUCGACUUUCCAAAGUUGGAUUCAUUUUUACUGGGAUCGACUUCCUGAGCCCCAUGUCUCCUGAAGGCCGACUUCCCUGGGAUCGACUUAUGAGGUCGACUUCCCUGGGAUCGACUUAUGAGGUCGACUUCCCUUAUGCUGCUAGUUCGAUUUCCUGAAGUCUGGAUCGACUUUUCUUGGGAUCGACUUUUGCCAUAACCUGGGAUGACUACCAUGUUCUUCGUGCAGGUUGUUAUAAUGUCUUCUGAUAAUGACUCGCAGAAAGACCUUCCUCCCAACAAGGAGCGGGCUAUUAUUAUUAGCCCUCAGGCUAAGACUGCUCCUGCCGUAGUUGAUUCUACUCCUGCCGUGGUUCAGACUACUCCUGCCGUGGUCGAGCCUAGAGUUGAUUCGCCUUCCUCCUCUCCUGUUGGAAGUAAGCGAAAAACUCUUUCUCGUCGUACGCGCAAGCCUGUACCUAGUAAGUUAUUAUUAUUUUUUCUUUCGUAACUUACCUUUUGUUUGUUUUUUGUUUGUAGGUUCUCCCCAUUCUUCCCUCGCACGUUUCAGUUCGGGGUCUUCUACAUCCGGUUCGGGGAGCUCGAGUUCUUCCUCCUACAACUCCUCUUCUCCUGAGCGGGAUGUAGAAAUUGGAGGCACUCCUCCUUCUAUCGUUAGGACUCCUCCUCCUACAAUUAUUUUGUCUACUAUUCUUGAGGAGGUUCCUAUUGCGGAGGAGCCAUCCGUGACUACAGACGGUUCUGCUCAACUUCCUCCCGAAGUCUGUAGUCAGAACGUUCAUAUUUUAGAUUAUCCUCCUGAGACAGAGGAGAAGUACCCCUUUCCUUCUCCUCUUGAGGAGAAAAGCGCCCCAUCCUUCUAUCGGGAGAUGGAUGGCUCUUGGCGCCAGUGGUCCGUCCUUCUUCGUAACGGUUUCCACGUUGUCCCUAUCCUCGAUCGGGGCGAGUAUGGGACUGGGUAUGGUUCCUUCUGUACAGUUUCCCUGACUGACAUUCCAGUCUACCCUCUCUCCUCUAACGAGGGCAGAUGCUCUAACACCCUUUCCCUGGAUGCCGCCCAAAGAAUUUUGAGAGGGUUAGAGCUUAGAGAGAGAGUGUACUGGGCGUAUCUUUCUGAGAAUACCGGUGAUGUGCCCCCUUAUUUUAUGUUGGCACUUCACCGUAUCUAUUUCACUAACUUUCCGAAUUCCGAUCCUUCCGAUCCCUUCUCUAGUUAGUGAAAUCCUCUUGUAUGUAUUUUUCAGAUGGGUGCCGCCUUUUUCUUUUAUGUCAGGGGCUUUAUUAAUAUUCUCAGGGAUGCUGGCAUAAUCCCCACUGCUCGGCUGUUCUUCCACUUCUUCACUUUUCAAAAUCCGAAGAAGGGCAGCCCUUUCAUUGCAUGUGCCAGCCGUGCCUCCUCUGUUACUCACUCCGCCCUCUUGAAAGAUCCUCCGACCAGGCAGAAUAAGAGUGAGUUUAUUUUUGUGGAUUGCAGGCUAUGUCCUGGUAGCAGACUUCUCACUGCAUCCACUAGUGGUCGUAAGCUUACUCCCCGUCCUGUUCUGAUCGAGGAUGAGGGAGCUUCUGUGCAAAGGCUGGCCUUUCUACAUCCUAUCGUUGUGCCUGUCGGUCACGCGAUUGAUGACACUUUUAACCGACAAGGUCUUCCUUUGCCUGUUUUUCUUUUUGUUUCUUAUGCGUAUGCAUUUUUACUAACUCUGCUUUUAUUUCUUGCAGAUUUUUAUAUGCAUAACCCUGGAGGUGUCCCUGAACGCGUUGGGCAGAAUGAAACGUGCACGAAGGUUUAUGCAUCUGCCUCUAAACCUUCUGAUGCCAUACAUUUGAGAUGCCGCGCUCAUGAGAACGCCUAUACGAGGGCGCCUUCCCCUACUCCUCCUGAAGAAGCCCCACGAACUGAGGAAGGGGAAACUACCCCUGUGCAGUCUCCUGCUGCUGCCAGGCUUGCUUCCCUCUUCCGCACUCCGGAAGAGGAGCGAGAGCGAACCACUGGAAAGGAUGUCCAGCCCGAGGGUCUGAGGGAAAAAGAAACAAAAAACGCACUCCUCCCCCCAGGACCGACCCAUCUCCUCCGAGGAAAUCGAGGAGAGACUCCCCCAGGCGACGAACUCCUCCGCGUCGGAGAUACUAUGCUGGGGAGUCCUCCCGGGGCCAAUACACGUAUUCUUCUACCCGGGAGACACAAUUGCCGGGUUACCAAGGCUCCCACCCCCGGAAUUACGGGACCAAGUUCCCGUUGGUUGCUGACACGGAUGCCGCCCGAACCACCUUGCGGACUAUAUCUGGGUAUCCGAUGGACCGGACUGUCGAAGAAAUCGGACAAAACCUGAGCAACGUAAGUACUCUUGUUUUGCUAUUCUUAUGAGUAUGUUCUUACUCGUUCUUUCUUUUUGCAGCUCGCCUAUUUGUUUCAGGGUCGCCUCUCUUCCUUGUCUCGUCUUCGUGACUACCAGUCUAUGGAAGAUGAGUUGAAGAAGGUGAAGAGCCGAUGUAAAGAUCUGGAAGGCGAGGUCAUGCAAAAAGCUUCAGACGCCUCUACUCUUUCUGCUACCAACAAGAAAUUGGCUGAGGACUGGGCUGCUCAGAAAAAUCUCUUGAGAGAUAAGGAGCAGGAACUCUCCAAAGUCAACGGGGAGUUGGGGGCUGCAGAGAUUGAAUUAGCUUCUCAACGUGCCAGGGUUUCAAUCAAAGAGUCGAUGAUUGUCGAUAUCACCCGGCAGGCUGAGAAUACUUAGGCGAACCUUCGUUCUUGUAGGGCACAAAAUGAUAUAUUUACCCGUCGGUUGAACGAAGGGGAAGAGGAAAGGAAGAAGCUCUCCCAGUCGCUGGAUGAUUGCCAAACUGAGAUAAAGCGACUGGAAGGAGUAGACCAGGAAAAGACUGAGGAGAUCCAAUGCAUGACUGAGGAGCUUCAAUGCAUGAUUGACCAUUUGGAGAAGCUUAAAGUUGAUUUUCUCGCCAAUGUGCGAGAUUACAAUGAUUUGGUGGAUCUGGGUCCUCAUGUCUGUCCUGGUUUUGAGGCUGAGUACCCCAAAGAAGCUACUGAAGUCCGAAAUCGGGCACUUGCAGAAGAAGAGGAUGAAGCAGAUGAAGAAGAGGAGGCUUCGGGAGACAAAACUACUGCCACCAUUGACAAAGAUUUCUCUGUAGAAGAUCAAGAUAACAAUGGUGCAACGGGUUCCAAAGACUUGCCCCCUCCUCCUAAAUAGAUCGAUCCUCUAUCUUAUCCUUGUUACUAUUGUAAUUUACAUUCCUCUGUAAUUCUUGUUAAAUCAAUAUAUGAAUGUAUUUUUAAGUGUUCUGAUUACUAAUAAUAGCUAACUAAACAACAUAUUAAUUAAGUAUUUCAAACUAUUACAAGAGUAGUAUAAUCCUACUUGAUCGUUAAAAAUACAACUGUAGGUUAUCUGCGUGCCAAGUGUUGGGAAUGACUGUUCCAUCUUCCCGUUUUAACUUGUACGUGCCUGGUCGGAGUUCUUCCUCCACCACGUAUGGUCCUUCCCAAUUUGCGCCUAGUUUGCCUUUAGAGCAGUCCUUUCUGCCGACACUCGCUCUUCUCCAUACUAGGCUUAAUUUCUUAUCUCUUUACCCUUGACAUUCUUGUCGUGAUAUCUAGCGAUACUUUGUUUAUAAGCUGCAUUCUUUGCCUGUGCAUUAUCCCUAAGCUCAUCCACUAAGUCCAGAGUUAUCGCACAUGAUCUUAUGUUUUCUUCCAUGUCAUAGGAUAAUACUCUGACUGUUGGAAUGCUUAGCUAUGUUGGGAUUAGUGCUUCCAUUCCAUAUGCUAGUGAGAACGGGGUUUCUCCGGUGGGUGUCUUUUCAGUGGUUCUAUACGCCCACAGGAUCUCUGGUAGUAGAUCUGCCCACGAACCUUUGGCCUGUUCGACUUUUUUCUUCAGUCCCUGAACGAUGUCUCUGUUUGUGACUUCUACUUGCCCAUUACCCUGUGGUCUGUAUACCGAUGAAAAAUGAAUUCUAGUGCCCAUGUUCUCGCACAAUCUCGUAAACUCCCCACCGGUAAACUGUGUCCCAUUAUCUGUCACUAUGUGCAUUGGAACACCGAAUCUGCACAUUAUGUACUUGAAGACAAACUUUGUUGCUGCUCCUUGAGUUAUCUUGGGUACAGCUAGUGCCUCGACCCAUUUAGUGAAGUAGUCGACAGCCACAAAUAUGAAUUUAGCCUGACCUGUCGAUACUGGAAAUGGUCCCACAAUAUCUAACCCCCACAUUGCAAAGGGGAUGGGGAUUUCUACCCCUGUUAGCUGAGUUGCAGGAUUUCUCUGUAUGUUUUUGUGUAUUUGGCAGGCCUUGCAUUUUCUUGCAAAUAGGACUGCGUCUUUUUUCAGUGUGGGCCAGAAGUAUCCCUGCCUUAUUAUUUUCUGGGCCAGAGAUCUUCCCCCUUGGUGUAUUCCGCAUACCCCUUGAUGAAUCUCCUCUACAAUUAAUCGUCCUUCAUCUGUUGAGACACAUUUCAUUAGAGGUCCAUCGUAGGAUUUCUUAUACAGAAUGUCACCGAUCAAGCAGAAUCUUGAGAUGCGUGUUUGUAACUUACGCCUUUCAUUCUUGUUUUCAGGGUGUUUUUGCCCUUCAAAGUAUUCUAUUAAGGGUUUCCUCCAGUCUUCUGCCUGGAUCGUGACCAUGUUACAUGAAGAUGUAGAUGCUGAGUCAACCAGUAUCUCUCUCUGCCCCCCUCGAAAGCAGAUGCUAGCUUUGCUAGGGCAUCAACUGAGUUGUUCUGACUCCUCGGAAUCUGUUGUACUUCCACCUUGGUGAAUUGUUCCUAGAUUUUUUCUAGUGUAGUUGCGUAUUGUACGAUCAGAGGUUCUUUAACUGUGAACUCUCCUGUGAACUGUCGAGCCACUAGUUGAGAAUCUGUUCUGAUGAUUACUGAACAGGCUCCCAACCUUUUGAGGAUUUUCAUGCCUUGGAUUACAGCUUCGUACUCUGCUAUAUUAUUUGUAGCUGAGAACUGCAAUCUGAUAGAAUGUUCAUAUAUCCUUUGGUCUGGAGUGAUUAUCUUUAUUCCCACUCCUGCACCUGUACUGCAGCUUGAGCCAUCAACCUCUACUAUCCAAGGUUUUUCCUUGCUUUCCUGGGUCAUGUCUACAAUGAAGUCUGCUACUGCUUGCCCUUUGAUGGCUGUGGAAGGAACAAAAUCUACAUCGAACUCGCUUAACUCCAGUGCCCACUUCGUCAAUCUUCCGGAAGUAUCUGGCCUGUGGAGUAUUCUGCGCAGUGGAUGUUUUGUUAAGACUUUAAUUGUAUGAGCCAGAAAGUAUACUCGGAAUCUGCGUGCUGCAUGUACUACUGCCAAGACUAUUUUCUCCACUGGAGGAUAUCUUGUUUCUGCCCCCUGUAGCCUUUUAGAGUAAUAAUAUAUCGGGAUUUGUUCGUUGUCCCUUUGACAUAUUAGAACUGCACUGAUAGCCUCCUCUGAAGCUGCUACAUAGACGUACAAUUACUCCCCUAUCUUUGGUGAAGUUAGGUGUGGUAGAGAAGCCAGAUGUGUUUUGAGUUGUUGGAAUGCCUCGUCACACUCUGUAGUCCAUGUUAUUGCCCCUUUUUGACUAGUUUUUAACAGCUGGAAAAAGGGUUUGCACUUGUCUGCUGUUUUGGAAAUGAACCGACUCAAGGCAUUGAUUUUUCCAUUCAGCUUUUGUACCUCCUUUAUUGUUCGAGGUGGUGCUGUUUCUAAUAUUGCUGCUUUUUUAUCUGGAUUUGGUUUUAUCCCUUUCUGCCCCACAUAGAAUCCAAGAUAUUUUCCUUCUUGCACUCCGAAAAUGCAUUUGGCAGGGUUUAACCUCAUCCCGUAAUUCUGCAGAGUUUCCAGGGUCUCUUUCAGAUCAUUUGGGUGUUCAUCUGCUUUCUUGGAUUUCACCAGAAUGUCAUCUACAUAUGCCAGGACGUUUCUUCCUUCCUGCUUUUUGAAAACCUUGUCCAUCAGCCUUUGGAAGGUUGCUCCUGCAUUUCGUAGGCCGAAAGGCAUGACUUUGUAGCAAUAUGUCCCCCAUUCGGUGAUGAAUGAUGUGGCCUCUUCAUCAUCUUCUUUCAUUAAGAUCUGGUUGUACCCUGAAUGUGCAUCCAUCAUAGAUAGUAACUCAUUUCUUGAUGCUGCAUCUACUAAUCUGUCGAUGGAUGGGAGUGGGUAGCUGUCUUUUGGACAUGCCUUGUUGAGAUCUGUGAAGUCUACACACAUCCUCCACUUCCCAUUAGAUUUUUUAACCAUGACUGGGUUUGCUAACCACUUUGGAUAUUUAACUUCCCGGAUGUGCCCAGCUUUGAUUAAUUUUUCAAUUUCAGCCUGUGCUGCCUCCUUUCUUUCAGCUGCGAGUAUUCUCCGCUUCUGCCGUACAGGAGUAAAGCUACUGUCUAUGUUGAGUUCAUCGCACGUUAUAGUACGCUGUACUUAUGAGGGUGCUUCCCCUUCCCAUACAAAUGCGUGCACAUGGGUUUCUAACAGUUGCAGUAGUGAUUUUUUCAGUUCGGAGGAUAAAGAUGUGCCUAUCAAGACUCCUCCUUUUGAGAGUUUGACCUCCUCAACUUGAUUAGAUGAGGUUGUGUCUUCUUCCUCCUCUCUUUCUUGGAUGUACAGGGUUAUAGGUUUGGCUAUUUUAGUUGCCUUCCUGUACGAGUUUCUGGAGUCUUUCUGUGCUCCAAAAACUGUUGCCAUUUUGCCAUCUUUUCCUGGGUACCUGAAGCAUUGGUGGUAAGAUGACGGUAUUGCCUUGAAACCGUGAAUGCUUGGUCUGCCCAAGAUCCCAUUGAACGGAGAGUCUAUAUUGACCACGAUGAAGUGUGCUGUGCGUGAUACUCUCCCAUUUAUUUUUCCCAGGGAUAUCUGUAGAUCGAUGGCUCCUACUACUGGGGCCUUUGUGUUUGUGAACCCAUAAAUGGCUUCCUUGGCCGGGGUCAGCUGAUUCACUUUGUAGCCCAUUUUUUCGAAUGCAGCUAGGUAUAGUAUAUCUACUGAGCUGCCAUUGUCCACCAUCACUUUGUUCAGACUUAAAUCAUCCCCGAUAUCCACUUGUAUUACUAGUGGAUCCUCAUGUGGGCUGACCACGUUGUCUAAAUCUUCCUCAGAGAAGCUUAUCUCCUCGCUUGGGUACGAUCUUUUCUUAGAUUUUGGUACCGUGGUAGUCUGCAUUACCUUGCGCGAGUAACUUCUGCUUUCUCCUACUGAUCCUCCACCGAAGAUUAAGUUUAUCACUCUUCUUUUGUGGUCAGUGUCUGAGUUAGGACUUCUUGAGCGUUGGCACUUACCCUUGUUCUUUGGGUCCUUGCAGCCUUGUCGCCCCCUUUCUAUUUUAUUUAUAUAUUGCUUUAGCUUUCCCUCCUUUACUUGUGUGUCUAGGAAGGUGCUUAGCUCCCUGCAGUUUUCUGUGUUGUGCCCGUAGUCCUUGUGGAACUUGCAAUAUCUGUUCCUCCUUGUUCGAGCCUCUUUCGUUGCAAGGUUCAAUUCUUUUGGUUGAGGAAACCUUAUUCUUCAUUUUUCUUUGUUGUAGAUUUCCUCUUUUGGAGUGCUGAAAACCGUGAAUCCCAAGUCUUUAUACUUUGGAUACCUUGAUUUUCCAAACUCCUCAGAUGUCUGGUAGACCUUUCCAUCGUGUUUUGGUCUCCAGGAUGAUUCUCCUUUCUCAAACUUUUGAAAUUUCUUUUUUGGUGCCUCAUAUGCUUUUUUAUUGUUUAUGGCACCUCUCUCUUUUUCUUUUUCUUUCUCAUACUCUUCAGAAUUUAUAUAUUUCUGGGCCUUUGUUAGCAAGUCUUCCAUGCAUUUUAAUUACUAACGUUUAGCUUUAUUGCUAAUGGCGUGUUCAUGUCUAGCCCUUUUGAGUAUGCGCAUAUUGCGAUUGUUGUAUUCAGAUCGGAGAUUUUUUGCAUGGCUUCCGUGAAUUUAGUUGUAUAAUUCCGAAGCGUGUCUCCGUUCUUUUUGAUUGCAAACAGUGAUUCCGUGCCCUUUCUGACCCUUGUCUUUCCACAGUGUUGGGCGACGAAUUUCUUUUUCAAGUCCUCGAAACUUGUUAUGCUCCCUGGCUGCAGUUCAACGAACCAUCUGUAUGUAGGCUCUUUCAGUGUUUCUGGGAAUGCUCUACAUAGGAUGUCAUCCCUUGAUGUGGCCCAUUGCAUUGCCCCCACAAACAUAUUUAUGUGGCCUACUGGGUCCAUUUUCCCAUCAUAAAUCUGCAGCCUGGGUAGCCUGAAUUUCAGAGGUGCUGGUUUUACCAUUAGCGAUUUGUGUAGGGCAUCCAUGCCUACUAGCCAGUUUGGGACCUCGCCUCCUCCUUCUGUGUCUCCCGUGCUUUCUUCAUAUACGGGUUUUUUGAGAAGAGGUUUGGGUUGCUCCUCUAGUUUGCGAGGUAGUGGUGCGCUGGAGUGUGCUGCUCUAUGACUUGACACUUCCUGUUGCACCUUGGCCUGCUUUGACGUCUGAGCUUUCGAAUGGUAUAUUGAUGCUUUAGAUUUUUCAAUAUCCUUUAUUUUCUCGCUCAUUUUUGCUAUGGUUUCCUUCAUUUUUUCCAGCUCCUCUAUAGGCAUCUUUAUGAACCCGUGAGUGGUUUCUGAUGCUGCAGCCCUUGGUUCCUUGCUGCUUGUGGGUCCCCCCUUUUGAGGUUGUUCUUCCGAAGGUUUCUCCUUUUCAGCAAGGAGUCGGAUGGCCUCAGUUAUCGCCUAAACCGUGAUGUUCAGAUUUUCCCCUCCUGCUAAAGCUUGGGGAGUUUGCUCGGGCUUACCUUCGGGUUCAGCCUCAGGUCCUGUGGGAGUUCUUUUGUUCUUAUUGGCCUUGGGUGGUCAACCCACUGGCCUUUUAGUUUUUGAGUUGCCAGGCUGUUGCUCUGGCGCCUCUUGAGAAUUUGCUCCUCCUCCUUGGGAAGUGCUUCGUGUUACCACCAUCCUGGAGUGUUCGACUUUUCUUGAAAAAGUGUUCGACUUUUGCUUGGAGAAAGUCGAUCUUCAAAAAAGUCGAUACCUAGUGCACUUGGAUGAUUCCUUGGAAGUCGUAGCCUAAAAGCCUAGCUCCUUGAGGAAUCGACUUUUUUCCUUGGGAGAAAAAGUCGAUCUUCUGAAAAGUCGAUCCCUUGCUGGCUGAUCUCCUCGCAAGACUCCCUAGCUGGCGACUUGGAGAAAAGUCGAUCACAUUUUUCGAAAAAGUCGAGGAGCUUUUGUCGUGAGUAUCUUUGAAUCACAGACGGCACCAACUGAUGGGGGUGAAACCCGACCAGUACUCCAAGACGCGCAAGCAAGGGCCAAGCGGGGAACUCCGCGGGAAACCGGACCGGAACUCAAGUGCGCAGAGCUCUGCUUCGCUAGGAAUCCUUUCGCUCAAAAUGACCUGCCUUUAAUGAGUGGGGGCGCCCUCUAUUUAUAGGGAUUCUUAUGGGGGUAAUAUGGUCAUUUUGGCAGUAACCGCCUAACUGCCAAACUGAUCAGAUUGGGUCCCGGGAUCGACUUUCUGGGGGUCGACUUUCCUGGUGAUCGACUUUAUUCAGAAGUCGAUCCCAGGGAAGUCGAUCCUCAGGAUUCGACCUGGGACCUCCCCAACCCUAGAAUAGAUACCUUAACUCAUCUUAGGCAAUCUGGACUUCUAGUUGCUGGUAGGUAGUGACCAUGUUCGGGAUACUGUAUCACCAGUAUUCCCCCCUCCUCUGCGUAUUAGAUACUUUGGGAUACGUCUUUUAGUACUAUGGUCUGUGUGUUGGACCUUGUACUAUCAGUGAUUAUUCUAAAUAUGAUAUGGCAUACAUAUUGUAUAGUAUCUCCAUGGAUUAAAGAGAGAUUUAUUUAGAAUAAUAUCUCUAUUGACAAUAUAUGAGAAUAAUAUAUGCGACAAACAAAAGAAUCAACGUGUUUUGGUCACUGGUUGCUACUGACAGAAGCAUAGCCUGUCUGGUUACUCUGGCCAAUCCUAUCUUGUAACAGAUGAUAGUUCUUCACUACUAGUGUGAUGCACUUGAUUGUGAAUCUGAACUGUGGAUUUGGUCGCCAUCACUGUUAUAGGAUUAAGAGCGUGAGCUAUGGCUUUGGUGGCCAUAACUAUUACUGGGCUGAGAGUGUGAGCUAUCGCUUUCAUGGCCAUAACUGUUACCAGACUGAGAGUAUGAGUUAUAACUUUGGUGAUCAUAACUGCUACUCGGAAACUCCUCUCUGUAUCGAGGAAAACUAGUCGAGGUUUCGGAUUGGGAACUUGUAUCCUCGUAUGUAUCUUUUUCAGCAUAGCGAGGUUUUUUUCGGCUGGGCGGCUCGAAUCCGUCCAACUUGUCAUUGUCUUCCUCUUCUAUCUCAUUGAACGAUUAAACUCGUUGAAAGAGGCCGGGCAGGGUCUCCACUUUAUGGAGCAUCAGAUUCUGGGCCAAAGGGAAGAAGAGUAUCAACCCUCUUAUGUAUCCUACUAUGGUCAGACUUGGGAUCAGCUCGUUCACUUCUGUCAUCAUUGAAGUGAACUUAAUCGUGUAAUCCCUCAGGGACAGCUUGUUCUGUCGUAGUGCCAGUAGUGCGUUGGCACUGUGUUUUAUUCUGAUCAUCCUCAUAUGUUGGGCGAUGAACUUUGAAAAGAGAUCCGCGAAGCUGGAGACCGAGCCAGCUGGCAGACUAGAAAACCACCGAUAAGCACUGCCUUUGAGAGUGUCCGGGAAUGCCCGACACAACAGCCCAUUAACGGUGGUCUGCGGCUCCAAGACAUUAAGGUAGAGGUUAAUGUGAUCUUUUGGAUCACUCGAACCGUCAUACGCUUCUAUCCUGGGUACUCGCCAGGUUGGUGGAAAAGAUCCUUUCAAAAGGUCCUUGUGAAAAGGAACACUUUUGAUUCUCAGGAAUUCGAUCGGGCUGCUGACAACUGGGUUGUCAGCCAGCUUCCGACGGAGAUCUUCUACGAACCGUUUCGUAAGAGUCUUAUUAGUGCGACUCUUACUAGGUCCAGCCCUUGCUUUAGGAGGGACUAGAGAUUUCCUCUUGUGGUCCCUUGUUUUCUCGAGGUUGCUAACUCUUUUUUCUAUGGUAUCCAUAAAGUCACUACAAAAAACCAGCGCAAUUCUGGCGGCAAAUUCCGGCGGCCAGGCUGCCGGUAUAAUGGUUCCUGGCGGCCAAGCCGACGAUAUUCCAUCGCCGGAAGUAAUGUCGUCGAAAUUGUGAAAUACCGAUUGUGGAUUCCGAUUUUAACAGAAAUGGUUCCAGCGGCUUAGUCGCCGAAAUAUUUUUUUGAAAACUAUAUCCCGGUGGCCAGGCCGCCGGCAGUUAUUUUUUGGAAAUAAUUUUCAGGCGGCCUGGUCGCUGGUAGUUUAAAUUAUUAAAAAAAUUCCUGGUGGCUAUGCCGCUGGUCAAUAUUUCCCAGUAGGAAAAAAAAUUCUCCUGGAAUAAAGUUCUGGUGGCCAAAACUUUUGAAAAAAAUUUAAAAAAAAUUUGUUUUUUUUUUUUUUAUUUUGUUUUUUAAUAUAAUUUUUUAUGAAAUUAAUAAAUUGAAUUUGAAAUUGAAAUUAAAGUUGAAUACUGAAUGUAUGACAAAAAUUUAAUUCGUUAAUUACUAAUUUAAUUUCUUUUUUUCGCUCUUCUUCUUUUUUUAGUUCCGACCACCUUUCGUAACGCCUCUUUUGUGAAGAUAAUCGGUCUUCCUCCGCACAGUUGUGGAGUAGUGUGUUCCUCUUGUGGCGUAGUUUGUUGAAACGGCGUAGUUUCGUUCGUUGGUACUUGAGGUGCGGCUCUAAAAGUUGACGCUCCAGAAGAAUUUAUGUUGAACCCUCCCACAGGAUGCGCUGCAGCGUUGUUGAAGAUUGGCAGAAAUUUCGGUAAGCGCAAGUUCGGAUUUUAAACGAGCAUUGCCGUGUUGUACUGUUCGAAAAACGUCAUUUGACGAGUCAUCGCCUCAUUCUGACGAGCCAUCGCCCUUUCGACAGCCUCGUUUACCUUAUCUUCAACCUCUGCUUCGAUCAUCGCAUCUUUUCCUUUAUCCAUGCAGAAGUUCCCGACAUUCAUCCGAUGCGUUGUCUUCUUGCUCAAUGAGGAACCAGUUGUUCCUAAUGUUCUAGAUUUCUUCGAGCUUCUACCGAUAAAUUCGGUUAUAGCAAACUUGAUUAGAGCCUAAUUAAAAAGAAAAGAUGAUAAUAAUUAAUGUAAAUUUAACUAAUGAAUUAUAUUGGAAAAAAUAUAAAAUACGUACCGUGUGUCAGUCAUAUUUUCUUGUUGAAGCAUAUUUUUGGCUUCUUCACUGUCUAUCCAUAGAACCGCUUUAUCCUUAAAAAACAAAUGAAAGUAGUCAAACAAAUAGUAAUCAACUGCAAUUAAUUUAAAAGAUUACGUACCACUCGUUCGUCUUUUGGAUAAGCUGCCUUUAUAUUGAGUUUCCAAAUUUUAAUAUCAUUUAAUCCCUUUUGUUCCUAUAGUAUUAAAAUUAGGAAAAAACAGAAAAAAGAACUUGAAAGUAUAUAUGAAAUUAAAUAAUUUACUUACAGCUUCGUAAUUUCGUUGUGCUAGACUUUUCGAACCUAAACUGUGUGAUGUUUGUUUUGCCCGAUUGUCUUUAUUAAUUUGAAAAUUUUCCUGCAUUAAGUUAAAAUAAAAUAAAGUAAUUAAGUCAUUGCAUUUAAAAAAAAGAAAUUAAUUAAUACGUACUAAUCCCCUCGGUGAUCUUUUCUCGAUCAGUUUUUUUAGAAAUUGUUCUUUGAUGAUAUAGUCGGGUAAUGUUUUCAUAACCUCUUCGACUGUUAGAUCUUUAUUAUUAUAUUUAUCUAAUAAAGCGUUAUAAGCGCUUCUCCAUAAUUUGUUUAACCUUUCAUUGACACGUCGAUAACCAAAGGUUGACCCGCUGUAAUCAAAUUCUCUCUGUUCGAUGAAUAAUUAUAAAAUUAAUUAUUAAUUAACUAUAAAAUUUAUAAAUAAUAAUUAACUAUUAAUUAAUAAACCUGUAUCGUUGACAUCGCCUCAUCUAUGUUUUUCUGGUCUUGUUCAAUCCACGGUACGUCCAUUGGUAGUAACUUAAAAUCGUUCGCGACCAUUGCGCAUUUCUUGUUUAGUUUUCUUACUACGCUAUCGUGGACAAUUUGAUCAUUUCGGAAUUUUAUUACAAACCGUUGUCCUUGUGAUGGAUGAUAUUCUGCAUGAUCUUUGUUUUGUUCUCUUGUUUUUUUCUUCAUUUGACUACUGCCAGCCGUGUUCAUGUCAUGUAGAUUAGGAUGAUCAUAAUCUUGUUCGUCAGAUAAAUGAUCAUAGUAUUCAUUCUGACCUGGAGUCGUGACGACCAUGAAAAAUGAUAGAACGAAUGCGACUAGUAACCAAUACAUCUAAAUAAAAUAAAGAUAAUUUAAUUAAUUGAAAGAUAAUAUAAAAUAAAAAUAAUAUUCAAAUUCAUUAUACAUCGUCUACAUCAAAUAUUUGUCUAUGAGGUCUGUUUAAUACAAAACUCCUAUUAGAUUCAAUAGGAUUUAUUGAAUAAAAACAUUGUUUUGCUUGUUCGGCAAAAAUAAACGGUUCUUCCCCGUAUUUUGGCAUAGACGUUUUCACACUAACCAGACCGGACUCAUCUUUUUUAUAUCCUUCAUACCAUUUGCAUUGAAACAUGGGAUAUUUCAACAUAUCGUGUCCGUAACAUACUUCGAAAACUUUGUGAAGAGUUCCAUGGUACGAAAGAUCAUCAUUUUUCGGAUCGUCAUUUGGAUUCUUUAAGUAUGUGGAUGUAGUGGCGGAGACUAAGACACCGUGAUUUUGUGUCUUUUUUAAAUUUGACACUUCAAACGAAAGAAAUUUCACUCCGUUUAAGAUGUAGCCGUUGUACGAUUUUAGAAAGAAAUUUGGACCUCUUGAUAUCGAACAAAUAUCUCGUGAAAUAUUCUCGUCCUUGCCCCUAUUUUUCUGAACAUAUGUUUCAAACCAGUUUGCAAAUUCUUUGAAAUGUAAUUUUUGCAAACGUAAGGAAGUAAUAGUCGGAUACCUAAUAUGUCAAACAUAAAUAUUAAAUAGAUACGAAAAAGAUAUAUAUAUAUAUAUAUCGAUGAUAUGAAAAUGAUUAAUCAUGUCAUAUACGUACCUUUGUUUUAGGACGUCGAUAUGAAGAUUUCGGAAUAUUUCGAUAAUAUCCAAAUUGAAAAUGAUAUAUCGAUGAACUUGACCAUGUUCAAGUUUAGUGAACGAAGUGUGAGUUGAUGCACCAUAGUAACCAUCGAUAUAUCUUUCGGUUCUAUUUGACUUAGUUUCAACGUUAUGUAAAAAUCGUGAACAGAAUGUCAUAGAUUCGUCGGCUAGAUAUUUUUCUGCAAUCGACCCUUCAGGAUGACUACGGGUCCGAACGUAUUUUUUCAAAGUCAAUAGAUAUCUUUCAAUUGGAUACAUCCAUCGAUAAUGAACUGGACCAACCACUUUCUCUUCACUUGCAAGAUGUACUACUAGAUGUAUCAUUAUUGUAAAAAAACUCGAAGGAAAUAUUUUUUCCAAGUUGCACAUUGUAAUAACGAUAUUUUUUUCCAAUCUUUCCAUAUGUUCAGCUACAAUCUCCUUAGAACAAAUCGCGUUGAAAUACUUGCAUAUGUUAACUAAAACAGAUGUUACCUUCGGAUGUGUUAAUCGACGUAACGCAAUUGGAAGUAAUUGUUGCAUUAUCAUAUGACUUUUAAAACCUGUAAACUUUCUUACUUUCAAUUUCACUUUUGAUGAGAUGUUGGAUACGUACUCAUCCGGAAAUUUGAGAUCAUGAAACACUUUACAGAAAAUCAUCUUUUCUUCAAUAUUGAGAUUAAAUAUCGCUUUUGGAAUCUUCCAUUCAGAAUCACUAAUCUUUACUGGAUGUAACUCAGAAUAAAUUUUCAUUUCUUGAAGAUCCAAACGGGUACUCAAAUUGUCUUUCGAUUUGCCAUCCAUUCUCAAUAAAGUGUUUAUAAUAUUGUCGCAAACAUUUUUUUCAGUAUGCAUAACGUCGAUAUUAUGACGUAUCAACAGAGUCUUCCAAUACGGCAAUUAAAAGAAAAUACUAACUUUUUUCCAUCCAGGAGGUAAGGACAUGACUUUCAUCUUCUUCGUUUUUCCCGAAAAUAAUAGAAUUUCUAGAAAAAUUCAAAUUCAGAAAUACCUCCUCUCCCAAGGGUCGUUUAGGCGCUUCUUCACUUUCGAUUUUGUUAUUAAAAUCCUUCUUAUUACGUCUAUACGGAUGGUCUUUUCCAAAAAACGAUGGUAUCCAAGAAAAGACUUUUUCUUUCCAUAUUUCAAUCGAACACUACUCGUUUUUUCAGAAUAAACUGCACAUGCCAAUUUUUCUUUCGUGCUCCAACCAGAAAGAUCACCAUAUCCAGGAUAAUCGUUAAUUAUCCACAUCACUGCAGCAUGCAUUUGAAAGCUAUUCUGAGUAACCACGUCAUAUGUACUGAAACCAGUGGUCCAUCAAAUUUUUAACUCAUCAAUCAGUGGUUGUAAGUAGACAUCUAUAUCAUUUCCAGGUGAGGUAGGCCCGGAAAUUAGAAGACUCAAAAUGAAAUUGGGUUGUUUCAUACACAUCCACGGAGGAAGAUUAUAAGGCAUAAGAACAACUGGCCCCGUGCUAUGAGAAACUGACAUCAUACUAAAUGGAUUAAAUCCAUCGCUUGCAAGUCCCAAUCUGAUAUUACGUGGUUCAGAAGCAAAAUCGGGAUAUCGAUCGUCAAAUUGUGUCCAUUGCAAUGAAUCUACCGGAUGACGAAGAAUUCCAUCUUUUUUCCGAUCAUUUUUAUGCCAAGUCAUACCUUUAGAAAUAUCUUUACACAAAAACAAUCUUUUAAGUCAUGGUAUCGACGGAAAAUGUCUCAAAUAUUUGCCGGAAUCCAUUUUCUUUUUUCAUCAUCAUCAGCUUCGUUCAACCACAUUGAAACAUCACAUGUAGGACAAAUUUUGCAAUCUUUAUAUUUUUUACGAUAAAUGAUACAAUCGUUCCGACAUGCAUCGAUCUUCUCAUACCGUAACCCCAAAUCACAAACAACUGACUUAGCUUGAUACAUAUUCUUCAGGAUCGUUUCCGUUCCAUUGGGAUGAGAUCGACGUAAAAUGGAUAGCAACGUCUCAAAUGAUUUAUCGGACCACUGAUUGAUACACUUACAUUGAAAUAAUUCCAAAAUAAAAGAUAGCUUUAUAAAUUCGGUACAACCGGGCCAUAAUUCUUGUUCAGCGUCUUUCAACCGAUUAACAAAAGUCGAAUCAUAAUUUAAAUCUGGAAGAUCUUCAUUUGGUUCUGGAAGAUCUUCAUCAUUAUGAUCUGGAAUAUCUGGAAUAUUUUCAAUCUCAUCAGGUCUACCCAUCGCCACGCAAACUAAAUUACGCAUUUCAUUGUUUGGUUCAUCUUCAACUAUAUUUUCUAUGUUUGGUUCUGAAUCGUAAGUUCGCUCACCAUGUUUCGUCCAUAUAACAUAAUGUGCCAACCAACCAUUCAUGAAAAUGUGUUGACGUAAAUCGGCAAUUGGAAUUACAUUUCUUUUAGUACAGUCUCUACAUGGACAUGGUAAAUAUCCUUCCUUAUAUAAACCAUGGCAUUUUCGUAAACCAUAUUAAACAAACGCCGUGAGGUCAUCUCUGAAUUCUUGGCUACAGGGGUUCAAAGUUAACCAAGCCUUAUCAGGUACCUGGAUUUCAGACAUUCAACUGAAAUACAUACAAUUAUAAUUGAUUAAUAAACAAUUAUUUAAAAACUAAUUAACAAUCAAACUUAUAGAAAAUCUGAUUGUUACUUUUUUUAAUUAUUAAUUAAUUAAAUAAUUAUUUAAAUUUAAUUAAUUAAUUAAAUAAAUAAUUUUUAGAUAAUUGUUCUCAACAUUGGAUUUUAAAUCAAGUUUUUAAUAUAAAAACUGAUUAAUGGAAUUUCCAAUAUUUUUUUAAUUAAUUAUUAAUUCAUAAUUAAUUAAAUAAUUAAUUAAUUCAUAAUUAAUAAUUAAUUAUUUAAAAACUAACUAACAAUCAAACUUAUAGAAAAUUUGAUUAUUACUUUUUUAAAUUAUUAAUUAAUUAAAUAACUAUUUAAAUUUAAUUAAAUAAUUAUUUAAUUAAUUAUUAAUUAAAUAAAUGAUUUUAAUAUUUAGAUAAUUGUUUUCAACAUUGGAUUUUAAAUCAAGUUCUUAAUAUAAAAACUGAUUAAUGGAAUUUCCAAUAUUUUCUUAAUUAAUUAAUAAUUAAUUAAAUAAUUAAUUAAUUCAUAAUUAACAAUUAAUUAUUGAACAAUUACUUAAAAAUUAACUAUCAAUCACACUUAUAGAAAAUCUGAUUGUUACUUUUUUUAAUUAUUAAUUAAUUAAUUAAUUAAUUAAAUUUAAUUAAAUAAAUGAUUUUAAUUUUUAGAACAUAUUUUUCAACAUUGGAUUUUAAAUCAAGUUCUUAUUAUAAAAACAGAUUAAUGGAAUUUUCAAUAUUUUCUUAAUUAAUAAUAUAUUAAAUAAUUAAUUAAUUAAUUCAUAAUUAAUUAUUCAACUAUUACUUAAAAAUUAACUAACAAUCACACUUAUAGAAAAUCUGAUUGUUACUUUUUUAAUUAUUAAUUAAUUAAAUAAUUAUUUAUUAAUUAAAUAAUUAUUUAAUUAUUUAUUAAUUAAAUAAUUAUUUAUUAAUUAAAUAAAUGAUUCUAAUUUUUAGAUAAUUGUUUUCAACAUUGGAUUUUAAAUCAAGUUCUUAACAUAAAAACUGACUAAUGGAAUUUCCAAUAUUUUCUUAAUUAAUUCAUAAUUCAUAAUUAAUUAAUUCAUAAUUAUUCAACAAUUACUUAAAAAUUAACUAACAAUCAUACUUAUAGAAAAUCUGAUUGUUAAUUCUUGUAAUUAUUAAUUAAUUAUUUAUUUAUUUAAUUAAUUAUUAAUUAAAUAAAUGAUUUUAAUUUUUAAAUAAUUGUUUUAAACAUUGGAUUUCAAGUCAAGUUCUUAAUUUAAAAACUGAAUUUUUGAAUUUCCAAUAUUAUUUAAUUAAUUAAAAAAUAAUUUUUAAACAAUUAAUUAAUAAAUGUGAUUUUCAUUUUUAGAUAAUUUAAUUAAUAAAUAAUUACUAAACAUUUAUUAAAAACUAAUUAAAAAUCACAUUUAUAGAAAAUAAUUACUAAACAUUUAUUUAAAUAAUUAUUUCAUUUAUUUAAAUUUAAAUUUCAUUUCAACUCAUGAAUUCUUUUUAAAUCAUGCAUUUCAAUUCAUUUCAUGACAUUUCAUUUCAUAGCAUUCAUUUCAAAAAAAUUGUAUUCAUUUUCAAUUCACACAAUUUAAGAACAUGCAUUUCAUUUUCCUAUUACUUAACAUGCAAAUUAGAUUAACUAAUUGCUAACUAACAUGCAAAUUAGAUUAACUAAUUAGAUUAAAUAAUUUCAAAUGAAUAAAAAUUAUUACAUUGAUCCGCCAAACCGCAAAUGAAUAAUCUCAAAUUCCUAUAAUCCGUAAAUACCUACAACAAAAUACCAACACAUAACAUAUCACAAACUAUAUCGAUCAACACACACAAUAUCAAAAGACAUUAAAUUUGUAAAUCACAAACCUUCAAAACUAACACCGGCCGAGAGAUGUCUGGCGUAGAAAACAGUUCGGCGGGGAUCAGAGAUCGGGAGAUGUCCGGCUUCAACCUAAAAUAAAUUUAACAUAUAAAUUAAAUUUCACUAAAUUAACACUAAAUAAACUACAAUGAACACUACAAACAGUACAUAUAUCAUACUAAAACACUAAAUAAAUUUAAAUCACAACUAAACUGAUAGUUCUAAUCACAACUAAAUUUAAAUCAUAUAUAACACUAAAUCACAACACUAAAUCACAACACUAAAAUCACAACACUAAAAUCACAACAGUAAAUCACAAUAUUGGAAACUAAAUCACAACACUAAAACACUAUAAUUAUAUAAAUCAAACCCCCAAAAUCAGUAAAUCACCAAACACUAAAACACUAAAACACUAAAUCUCUAAACAUACUAAAAACCACCAAAUUCUUAACCCUAAAACAGUAAAUCAUAUUAUAUUAUUAAUAACAAAAAACAUAACUAAAAUCAAACCCCCAAAAUCAAAACCCCCAAAAUCAAAAAAAUAAAUCAACCUAACAUCUAACCCUAAAAUUAAACCACCAAAUACAUAUAUAAACCCCCAAAUAAUAAAUACAUAAACCCUCAAUGUCAUAAACUCACAAAUACAUGAACCCCAAUGUCAUACAACCAUAACCUCCUAAUUUAAUCAAAUAACAUACAUCGAAUGAAGAACAAAAUAGAAAAUGUAGAAGAAUAGGAAAAGAUGAUAUAAAUUAUAACAUGGAGAAGAUGGAGAAGAAGAGGAAGUUGAAGAAGAAGGGGAGAAAAUAACCUUGGUGAGGAAUGGCCGGAGAUGCUCGAUCAAAUCGGCCGGAGAUGCUAUAAACGCCCUUGGGGAGGAAUGGGGAGAAGUUUGGAGAAGAUUGGAAAAGUUGGGAGGUGUUUGGAGAAGUGGGAAGACGUUGGGAGACUUUGGAAGAAAUGGGAAAAGUCUGAAAUUUUUUUAUAUAUAUAAAAAAUCCUGGCGGCCUGGCCGUUGGAAAAUACUUAAGUUUCGUUUGACUAUGUUUGACUGUACGGGGGACCACGGUGGCGCAAGUGAUAAAAAUUAGGGUUUCCCAAAAAUCCUGGCGGCUAGGCCGCCGGCUACUGAAAAAACAAGCGGGAGAAAGUAUCCAGCGGCCAAGCCGCCAGCAAUUUUUCUCCCGACCGUUGAGGGUUUUAGUAUGCCGGCGGCCUCGGAUCACUUCUUCCCGACAGUUGGGGAAAUUGGAGCUGGCAUUUUUUACAAAAAAAUAUACCGUCUGCCAGGCCGCUAGCUCAUUUCUCUCAUUUGCGAGGGAAAAUUAUGCCAGCGGACAAGUGUAACAUUUCGUCGGCCUGGCCGCUGGUCGUAUCUACCCUCGGCCAGGCUGCCGGGAGAUGGGCGCCAGAAUUGCGUUGAUUUGUUGUAGUGAGUUAAUCAACCUCUCUUGUAGCACAGGAGUUAGGUUCAUUCCCCCAUUUGGUGGGAGUAAUGCGGCACCUCAUGUGCGGAUAGUGAUGCAUUAGAGGUUGGUACAGUACGGGAACCAAUCCUCCUACCAGAAGCUCCUACUUCAGUAGUUGUAGCGGGAGCUUUCUUUUUAUGAUCCUUAGUAAAAGAAGCCAUAAAUGGGAUGGUUGCUUCUAUUAGGUCGAAGCAACAGACUACGAGUGAAAGUACUUCCGAAGUGUCGGAAGCUAUGGGUAGGUACACAUAGCUUCCGGCCGACUUCCUCCUGAGAUGUGACGACUUCUGGCCGAAGCGACAGAAGUGUCAGAAGAGCUUGCGACACUCCCCCCUUGAAUUUUGAUGACUUCUGGCCAAAGAGACAGAAGUGUCUGUAAAGUUUAUGGUGCUCCCCUUCGAAAACAUGCACUUGGGGCAGUUUUGCUGUAUUUUACCCGAAGUCGGCGAUUGGAGGCCACCAAUCGGCGAUACCUAUGGUCUGGGUAACUGCAGGGGGCAUUUUGUUUAUUACCCCUGUGAAUCGGCGACUCCCUCUAUGGAUCGGCGACUCCUAGCGUAACCGUCGGAUCUUUUUGGGAGAUCCUUGGGAUAUUUGGACAAUAUAUGGGGAAUAUAUGCAAAAUCUCCAAAUAAGGAAAUGAAUCUCACAGUUCUGCGAGAUUGUGUUCGGAGUCGGCGACUCCCUUGUGGAGUUGGCGACAAUGGUGUGAUAUCGGGGAUAUGGAGAUCAACUUUCGAUCUCUAUUUUUGUAAUUUUCGGAUUUUCUAGGGGUUUUUUGCAAUUUUCCCAGGGGCUAUAAAUAGUGGAGAGUUCUCCCCAAAAUCUCACAACACUUCUUCUCAAUCGCCUAAAACCCUAGAUUUUUUAGUCGUCGAUUCCCAAGUAGUAUUUCUUUGAAUCGACAAUUCCCGAAUCAUGUCUGCCCCCGAUUCCAACUUCUCACCCUUGAAUGAAGCUGAAAAGUCAGCUUUCAUUGCGGAGAUGGCCACUGAGGGUCUCGACGAGUUGUUGAACACCGUCGAGUCGCCGAUUCCCUCUCCUGACAGAGGGGUUGAGUCGGCGCCUCCGGUCGUUUCACCUCUUGGUAUGGAUCUGAGUGCCUCUGUGCACGAGCUUAUUAGCGCCACGCCGGUGUCGGCAAUACCCCUUGAGGAGUCGGAGACACUGAGCAGGGCCCUUGUAGUCGUGCCUGAGGGGCCUCUUGAGCUGGGAGAGAUUCCCGGGACCUCUGUGUCGGCGAUUACCCCUAUGGAGUUGGCGACACAGACUGGGCCCGUAAAGGGAAAAUCUUUUAAGCGAAGAGGUCAUGGCUCGGGUGCCAUUGGGUCGGCGACUGCUGGCCGUGACUCGACGAUCCUUCUUACUGGAUCGGCGAUUCAAGGGUCUAAGUCGCCGACUCCUAUGCAGAUUGAUGACUCUUCUGCGCACCAAACCGCUCCGUUGGUUGUGAGUGCCGAAGGUCUUAUUGUGUCGGAACUGAACCCGAACCAGGGGCCAUCUGUGGGCGAUGGCUCUAAGAAACGUAAACGACGAUGUGUCCACGGCAAGGGCAAAGUCUUCGUGCCUGAACAGGAUGAGGGGGUCCCCCUGCCUCUUGACGUAAAUUUUGAAGAGACUUUGCGCGUUGACCGUGGUGUUCCCAACACUACAAGAAAUAAGACCUUGUAUGGCGGUCUUUAGAUGGCGGAUUUCCGCCAUCUAAAGUGAUCCUCGGCGGAAAUCUGCCAUCAAAAGACCGCCAUCUUGGACACCGCCAUUAAAACCCCUAAACCGCCAUCUAAAGACCGCCAUCUAUUAUUCGUCCCCAUUUCCCACCAAAAAUCGUAUAGAUGGCGGAAAUCCGCCAUCUAAUCUGAAAUUUUUCGUGCGAACUGAAAAGUUUUAGAUGGCGGAAAUCCGCCAUCUAAAAUAUGGCGCGGGAAUAGUUUGGCGCCAAUUCAUUGAUGGCGGUUAAUUUCAUUGAUGGCGGAUGUCCGCCGACUAUCCUUGGAACAUUAGAUGGCGGAAAUCCGCCAUCUAAAGUUACGCAGGCGGUUCCCUUAGUUUAUAGAUGGCGGAUAUCCGCCAUCUAUUCGUGGGAGAGGGCGAUUGUGCCCAUAUUUCCGCCAUCUAAAACUUAGUAGAAGAGUAUAGAUGGCGGAAAUCCGUCAUACAAUGUUUGUUACAUUUUUUUUUAGAACAGGAUUCUAUAUUUUGCGUUCGAAUCGUUGUUUUUUGAAAUAGAAAUCGAUAUUUGAGAAAACGAUUUUGAAAUAGAAAUUGAAAUCGAUGUUUUUUAUUAAAAAGAAAAUAAAUUACAGAAUCGUUAAACAUUCGAAGUUUGAAUAAGAAAAAAAAAAUUGUUUAAUCAACACUCGUCUGAAAGCGAGUCUUCUGAAUCAGAAUCAGAAAUAUCUGAUCCGAAUGCAGACGGUAUUGUGGACUUUGAAGUAGAAGCCAUCUUCGUCAUGUCGAGUCCAGAAGUCUUCAAAGUCUUAUUCAGUUUCUUCAUAUAUGAUUUCAUAGCAUUGAACUUCUUCUUGUAUUUGGAGACGUCUUUUUGACUCUCGUUACACUUGUUCUGAAAAUGAAUACAAAAAUGAGUUCGAUAAUCAACAAAAUUAUUGAAAUAUAUUGUAAAUACCUCCAAUGCUUUGAAUUUUUCCGACCAAACUGCAUCUGGUGUUGCAUCAGCAGUCGUGCUUUCUGAGAUCGGCUCUUUUCCUUUCCAAUUUGUAGAAGCCCAUCUUUCGUUUGUUGUGCUCAACAUACUGGCAGCUUCUCCGAUUCCUAUUAUUCGAUUCUUCUUAUUUUUGCCGAAAGUCUUGUUGACCGUCGUUUCGAUAAAUUGCUGCAUUAUAAAAAAAAAAUUAAGAAAUACAAAAUAUAUUUAAAAUAAUCAAUGGAACUUACAAAUGGAGUCAUUGAUUCAGAUUCAGAUUCAGCCCACGAUUUUGCCUCUGGACUUUUGAUAAAUUCCAUGGCUUCAAUCUGAAAGAAUAACAAAAUCAAACCAUGAUAAUAGAAAUUAUAAAAUAUAAAUAAUUUUAAAAAAAUACUUACAACUUUAUCGCUUCCCUUAUAUGUCAUUUGUAAAGUCUCUGACCAAGCUUCGACUUCACUCCUUCCUUGUUGCAUCUAUAUUCACAUAAAUCAUUAAUAUAUAAAAAAAUAGAUAUAAAUUAUAAAAAAAAUUACCAAUUCAUGACGUCUUUGCGCUAAUCCUUUUGAAUCAGCGUGAUGUGUCAUUUGAUUCGCUCGGUUCGCGGUAUUUAUCUCGGAAAUUUGCUGAAAUUAUAGAAAAUAAUAAGUUUCAAAAUUUAUUAAUAUAAUAAAUAUAUAUAUAUACAUAUACGUACCUUUUCUUUUUCCGAACGAUGUUGUCUCAAUUUAUUCAGAAAUUGUGGUUUGCUGACAUACGGUGGAAGAGUCGCUAAAAUGUCUUCUUCUCUCAUAUCAGGAUCAGAGCCAUAAGUUUUAACCAAAGAAUUAUGGUUGCUCCUCCAGAGUUUGUUCAGCCUACCAUUGAUAUAAGUUUGUGCAGCUUUGCUUCCACUUAAAUCAUAUUCAGUCUACAUAUUCAAAACUUAUAAGUUUUGGAAAAUUAAUAAAUUAUAUUAAAAAAAAAUAUACUUACAGUUAAUAUUUUUAACGCGUCUUGAAAAUUCUGUUGUGGUUGAUGACGCCACUCAAUGUCGUACGGGAAGAGAGUAUGGUCUUUUGCUAAAAGAGUCAUUCUUGUCGUUAAUUUCUUCGCCAUUUCAUCCGUCGCUUGGUUUGUGUUGUCAAACAUAACCUUCCACUUCGUACCUUUUUCUGGAUGGUUAUGGGGGUGGUCUUUUGUGCGACUACGACCCUUCUUCUGUGGAGGCACAUUCGAUGUGGAUGGCCUCGCAUCUAAUUAAUUUACAUAUUUAAGAAUUAAUUUUUUAUAGAAACAAUGAUAAUAUUUAAAAUAUAAAUAAUAAACUGACCACUUGAACUGGACUCUUCAAAAGAGCGAACGGAUGUAACCAUCGCCAGUGCCAUGAAUGGUGUGAUAACACCGAGCAAAACGAAAAAAGUAAACAUAAUCUGAAAUAUUUAAAUUUGAAAAUAAAAUUAGUUAUUUUAAAUACAUAGCCAGACACCCGUAUAUGGGGUCUUGGUCUGACACAACAACCAAACAUUUUUCCUAUUGUAAUUUACAUUCUUUAUUAUUAGACACAAUAAAUCUUCGAAGUCGUCGUGAGAACGUUGUAUUCGAUUUUGAAUGAAUGUGAGCCACCACAAUCAUUCAACACUCUAGCCUCGUAUCCUAACACUAAAAUCUGACCGGUUUCCAUUGUUUGAGGAUUUGUCGACCAUAUUUUUGGACAGUUCUGAAAAUGAUGACCGUUGACUCCGCAACGGAAACAAGCAAAAACACGACAAUAAUAAUCUAUGUUUUUGUAAAAACUACGUUGAAUCUGAUUAAGUCGCUCUAGUCGUUCAUAUCGUUCGAUGAUUGCAAGUAGUUGACUCAUUUUUUGUACUGAAAAAAAAAAGAAAUAUUUAUAAUCAAUACAUAUAUAAACCCCCAAAUAAUAAAUACAUAAACCCUCAAUGUCAUAAACUCACAAAUACAUGAACCCCAAUGUCAUACAACCAUAACCCCCUAAUUUAAUCAAAUAACAUACAUCGAAUGAAGAACAAAAUAGAAAAUGUAGAAGAAUAGGAAAAGAUGAUAUAAAUUAUAACAUGGAGAAGAUGGAGAAGAAGAGGAAGUUGAAGAAGAAGGGGAGAAAAUAACCUUGGUGAGGAAUGGCCGGAUAUUCUCGAUCAAAUCGGCCGGAGAUGCUAUAAACGCCCUUGGGGAGGAAUGGGGAGAAGUUUGGAGAAGAUUGGAAAAGUUGGGAGGUGUUUGGAGAAGUGGGAAGACGUUGGGAGACUUUGGAAGAAAUGGGAAAAGUCUGAAAAUUUUUUUAUAUAUAUAAAAAAUCCUGGCGGCCUGGCCGCUGGGAAAUACUUAAGUUUCGUUUGACUAUGUUUGACUGUACGGGGGACCACGGCGGCGCAAGUGAUAAAAAUUAGGGUUUCCCAAAAAUCCUGGUGGCUAGGCCGCCGGCUACUGAAAAAAACAAGCGGAAAAAAGUAUCCAGCGGCCAAGCCGCCAGCAAUUUUUCUCCCGACCGUUGAGGGUUUUAGUAUGCCGGCGGCCAGGCCGCCGGAUCACUUCUUCCCGACCGUUGGGGAAAUUGGAGCUGGCAUUUUUUACAAAAAAAUAUACCGUCUGCCUGGCCGCUAGCUCAUUUCUCUCAUUUGCGAGGGAAAAUUAUGCCGGCGGACAAGUGUAACAUUUUGUCGGCCUGGCCGCUGGUCGUAUCUACCCUCGGCCAGGCUGCCGGGAGAUGGGUGCCAGAACUGCGUUGAUUUGUUGUAGUGAGUUAAUCAACCUCUCUUGUAGCACAGGAGUUAGGUUCAUUCCCCCAUUUGGUGGGAGUAAUGCGGCACCUCAUGUGCGGAUAGUGAUGCAUUAGAGGUUGGUACAGUACGGGAACCAAUCCUCCUACCAGAAGCUCCUACUUCAGUAGUUGUAGCGGAAGCUUUCUUUUUAUGAUCCUUAGUAAAAGAAGCCAUAAAUGGGAUGGUUGCUUCUAUUAGGUCGAAGCAACAGACUACGAGUGAAAGUACUUCCGAAGUGUCGGAAGCUAUGGGUAGGUACACAUAGCUUCCGGCCGACUUCCUCCUGAGAUGUGACGACUUCUGGCCGAAGCGACAGAAGUGUCAGAAGAGCUUGCGACACUCCCCCCUUGAAUUUUGACGACUUUUGGCCAAAGCGACAGAAGUGUCGGUAAAGCUUAUGGUGCUCCCCUUCGAAAACAUGCACUUGGGGCAGUUUUGCUCUUAUAUUACCCGAAGUCGGCGAUUGGAGGCCACCAAUCGGCGAUACCUAUGGUCUGGGUAACUGCAGGGGGCAUUUUGUUUAUUACCCCUGUGAAUCGGCGACUCCCUCUAUGGAUCGGCGACUCCUAGCGUAACCGUCGGAUCUUUUUGGGAGAUCCUUGGGAUAUUUGGACAAUAUAUGGGGAAUAUAUGCAAAAUCUCCAAAUAAGGAAAUGAAUCUCACAGUUCUGCGAGAUUGUGUUCGGAGUCGUCGACUCCUUGUGGAGUUGGCGACAAUGGCGUGAUAUCGGGGAUAUGGAGAUCAACUUUCGAUCUCUAUUUUUGUAAUUUUCGGAUUUUCUAGGGGUUUUUUGCAAUUUUCCCAGGGGCUAUAAAUAGUGGAGAGUUCUCCCCAAAAUCUCACAACACUUCUUCUCAAUCGCCUAAAACCCUAGAUUUUUUAGUCGUCGAUUCCCAAGUAGUAUUUCUUUGAAUCGACGAUUCCCGAAUCAUGUCUGCCCCCGAUUCCAACUUCUCACCCUUGAAUGAAGCUGAAACGUCAGCUUUCAUUGCGGAGAUGGCCAUUGAGGGUCUCGACGAGUUGUUGAACACCGUCGAGUCGCCGAUUCCCUCUCCUGACAGAGGGGUUGAGUCAGCGCCUCCGGUCGUUUCACCUCUUGGUAUGGAUCUGAGUGCCUCUGUGCACGAGCUUAUUAGCGCCACGCCGGUGUCGGCAAUUCCCCUUGAGGAGUCGGAGACACUGAGCAGGGCCCUUGUAGUCGUGCCUGAGGGGCCUCUUGAGCUGGGAGAGAUUCCCGGGACCUCUGUGUCGGCGAUUACCCCUAUGGAGUCGGCGACACAGACUGGGCCCGUAAAGGGAAACUCUUUUAAGCGAAGAAGUCAUGGCUCGGGUGCCAUUGGGUCGGCGACUGCUGGCCGUGACUCGACGAUCCUUCUUACUGGAUCGGCGAUUCAAGGGUCUAAGUCGCCGACUCCUAUGCAGAUUGAUGACUCUUCUGCGCACCAAACCGCUCCGUUGGUUGUGAGUGCCGAAGGUCUUAUUGUGUCGGGACUGAACCCGAACCAGGAGCCAUCUGUGGGCGAUGGCUCUAAGAAACGUAAACGACGAUGUGGCUACGGCAAGGGCAAAGUCUUCGUGCCUGAACAGGAUGAGGGGGUCCCCCUGCCUCUUGACGUAAAUUUUGAAGAGACUUUGCGCGUUGACCGUGGUGCUCCCAACACUACAAGAAAUAAGACCUUGUAUGGCGGUCUUUAGAUGGCGGAUUUCCGCCAUCUAAAGUGAUCCUCGGCGGAAAUCCGCCAUCUAAAGACCGCCAUCUUGGACACCGCCAUUAAAACCCCUAAACCGCCAUCUAAAGACCGCCAUCUAUUAUUCGUCCCCAUUUCCCACCAAAAAUCGUAUAGAUGGCGGAAAUCCGCCAUCUAAUCUGAAAAUUUUCGCGCGAACUGAAAAGUUUUAGAUGGCGGAAAUCCGCCAUCUAAAAUAUGGCGCGGGAAUAGUUUGGCGCCAAUUCAUUGAUGGCGGUUAAUUUCAUUGAUGGCGGAUGUCCGCCGACUAUCNNNNNNNNNNNNNNNNNNNNNNNNNNNNNNNNNNNNNNNNNNNNNNNNNNNNNNNNNNNNNNNNNNNNNNNNNNNNNNNNNNNNNNNNNNNNNNNNNNNNCGCCAUCUAAAACUUAGUAGAAGAGUAUAGAUGGCGGAAAUCCGUCAUACAAUGUUUGUUACAUUUUUUUUUAGAACAGGAUUCUAUAUUUUGCGUUCGAAUCGUUGUUUUUUGAAAUAGAAAUCGAUAUUUGAGAAAACGAUUUUGAAAUAGAAAUUGAAAUCGAUGUUUUUUAUUAAAAAGAAAAUAAAUUACAGAAUCGUUAAACAUUCGAAGUUUGAAUAAGAAAAAAAAAAUUGUUUAAUCAACACUCGUCUGAAAGCGAGUCUUCUGAAUCAGAAUCAGAAAUAUCUGAUCCGAAUGCAGACGGUAUUGUGGACUUUGAAGUAGAAGCCAUCUGCGUCAUGUCGAGUCCAGAAGUCUUCAAAGUCUUAUUCAGUUUCUUCAUAUAUGAUUUCAUAGCAUUGAACUUCUUCUUUUAUUUGGAGACGUCUUUUUGACUCUCGUUACACUUGUUCUGAAAAUGAAAACAAAAAUGAGUUCGAUAAUCANNNNNNNNNNNNNNNNNNNNNNNNNNNNNNNNNNNNNNNNNNNNNNNNNNNNNNNNNNNNNNNNNNNNNNNNNNNNNNNNNNNNNNNNNNNNNNNNNNNNUAAAUACCUCCAAUGCUUUGAAUUUUUCCGACCAAACUGCAUCUGGUGUUGCAUCAGCAGUCGUGCUUUCUGAGAUCGGCUCUUUUCCUUUCCAAUUUGAAGAAGCCCAUCUUUCGUUUGUUGUGCUCAACAUACUGGCAGCUUCUCCAAUUCCUAUUAUUCGAUUCUUCUUAUUUUUGCCGAAAGUCUUGUUGACCGUCGUUUCGAUAAAUUGCUGCAUUAUAAAAAAAAAAUUAAGAAAUACAAAAUAUAUUUAAAAUAAUCAAUGGAACUUACAAAUGGAGUCAUUGAUUCAGAUUCAGCCCACGAUUUUGCCUCUGGACUUUUGAUAAAUUCCGUGGCUUCAAGCUGAAAGAAUAACAAAAUCAAACAAUGAUAAUAGAAAUUAUAAAAUAUAAAUAAUUUUAAAAAAAUACUUACAACUUUAUCGCUUCCCUUAUAUGUCAUUUGUAAAGUCUCUGACCAAGCUUCGACUUCACUCCUUCCUUGUUGCAUCUAUAUUCACAUAAUUCAUUAAUAUAUAAAAAAAUUAUAAAAAAAUUACCAAUUCAUGACGUCUUUGCGCUAAUCCUUUUGAACCAGCGUGAUGUGUCAUUUGAUUCGCUCGGUUCGCGGUAUUUAUCUCGGAAAUUUGCUGAAAUUAUAAAAAAUAAUAAGUUUCAAAAUUUAUUAAUAUAAUAAAUAUAUAUAUAUACAUAUACGUACCUUUCCUUUUUCCGAACGAUGUUGUCUCAAUUUAUUCAGAAAUUGUGGUUUGCUAACAUAUGGUGGAAGAGUCGCUAAAAUGUCUUCUUCUCUCAUAUCAGGAUCAGAGCCAUAAGUUUUAACCAAAGAAUUAUGGUUGCUCCUCCAGAGUUUGUUCAGCCUACCAUUGAUAUAAGUUUGUGCAGCUUUGCUUCCACUUAAAUCAUAUUCAGCAUACAUAUUCAAAACUUAUAAGUUUUGGAAAAUUAAUAAAUUACAGUUUUGGAAAAUUAAAAAAAUAUAUACUUACAGUUAAUAUUUUUAACGCGUCCUGAAAAUUCUGUUGUGGUUGAUGACGCCACUCAAUGUCGUACGGGAAGAGAGUAUGGUCCUUUGCUAAAAGAGUCAUUCUUGUCGUUAAUUUCUUCGUCAUUUCAUCCGUCGCUUGGUUUGUGUUGUCAAACAUAACCUUCGACUUCGUACCUUUUUUCUGGAUGGUUAUGGGGGUGGUCUUUUGUGCGACCACGACCCUUCUUCUGUGGAGGCACAUUCGAUGUGGACGGCCUCGCAUCUAAUUAAUUUACAUAUUUAAACAUUAAUUUUUUAUAGAAACAAUGAUAAUAUUUAAAAUAUAAAUAAUAAACUGACCACUUGAAUUGGACUCUUCAAAAGAGCGACGGGAUGUAACCAUCGCCAGUGCUAUGAAUGGUGUGAUAACACCGAGCAGAACGAAAAAAGUAAACAUAAUCUGAAAUAUUUAAAUUUGAAAAUAAAAUUAGUUAUUUUAAAUACAUAGCCAGACACCCGUAUAUGGGGUCUUGGUCUGACACAACAACCAAACAUUUUUCCUUUUGUAAUUUACAUUCUUUAUUAUUAGACACAACAAAUCUUCGAAGUCGUCGUGAGAAGAGUUGUAUUCGAUUUUGAAUGUAUGUGUGCCACCACAAUCAUUCAAUAUUCAAAAUAAAUAAAUUAAAUAAAAUUAUAUAAUUUUUACCGCAAAUUAGAUUUUCUUCAAUCCAAAACUUACUUCAAUCUUGAUUUUAAAAAACCUAUAACAAAUCAAAAACACAUUAAAUAUUUUAUAUAAAAUUUAAAUUAUUUAAAAACAUAAAAUAAUUACAACAUAUUUAUUUCAUGCAAAUAAUUAAUUAAGAUAUAGAUUCAUGUAAAUUUUAAUUAAAUUGAUAUUUAAUUACAAUUAUUUAUAUAAUUUAAAAAUAAGUUGAUUAAAUAAAAAUUUUAAUUAUUUUCUGUUUGAAAAUAAAUACGAUAACUAAUUAUUUCAAAACAUUAUAUUAAUUAAUUAACUAUUACAAAAUUAAGUUAUAAACAGUAAUUAAAAAAUUUUAUUAAUUAUUUAUAAACAGUAAAUAAAAUAAUUAUAUAAUUAAUUAUUUUAAACAAUAUGUUAAUUAAUCAAUUAAAACUUCUUUUAAAUUAUUUUAAAAUAGUAAAUAAAAUAAUUUUUUAAUAAUUUAUUCAUUAUUUUAAAAUCAGUAUAUUCAAUGAAAAAUAUAAAAUUAUUUAAAGUAUUGAUAAUUACAAAAUUAUUUAUAUUAUUAAUCAAAUAAUAUUUAAAUUAUGUACAAACAGUAAUUAUUUAUUUAAAUUAAUCAAUAAUUAUCUAAUUUAAUUUAAUUCUAUAUUUAAAUAAUUAUUUAUUUCUAUUAUUUAUUUCUAUUAUUUAUAAACUUUAAAUUAAAUAUAAAACAGUAAAAUUAAUAAAAAAUACCAACAAAAAAUUAUAAUUCAUAAAAAAACGAUUUCUAAAAUAUUACCCUAACCCUAAAUCGAACCCAAACCCCAUUCUAAAAUAUAACCAUUUUCAAAUAAAACAAAGUGAAAUAAAACCCUUCUCACCAAGAACGGCGACGGGAUCAAAUCAGGACGGAGGUGGUGGCUAGCGGAGACGACCUUCGAAGCGGAGUCGGCUACCGGAUAAUCAAAUAAGUACAUUUCAUUAUGAUAAUCAAAUAACAUAUCGCAAAAUUAAACCGUAUAAAUAAAAUUAUACCCAAACAACACAUACAAAGUACCAUCACGAUCAACAUCAACAAAGUUAAUAACAAACAUCAACAAAGUUUCCAUUAUUUAAUCUACAACAUAAAAUUUUAUCUUAAUAAACAAACCAUCAACAAACAAUUCCAAUGUCUAAAUCAUUGAAAUUAAAACAAUAUGAAAUUCUUAACAUAUCAUUCAAAUUCUUAUAAAAUCAUUGAAAUUCUUAACAUAUAAAAAACCAAACAUGAAAAAUUCUUAUUCAUACAUCAAAAACCCAACAAACAAUAACUUACUAUAAAAACAUCAAACUAACAAUCAACACAAUAACUAAAAAAACGUAAAUCAAACCCAUAAAUCAACAACACGAUAACUAAACACUUAUCAAAAACACGAUAACUAAACACUUAUUCAAAAACCCAACACUUAUCAAAAACAAUCAACACGAUAACUAAACAAAUUUCUUUCCUAAAUGAAUACUAUUUCAAACAAUAUUAUUUCAGAUACUAAAUCAACAGCAAACAAUACUAUUUCAUUCAUACAUACAUUCAAACAAUACUAAAUCAACAGAUACAUACAUUCAUUCAAACAUCUAAACAGAAAAUACUUCAACUUAAGCCUAAAUAGUAGAUAGAUAAAUAUUGAAUCUAAACAAUAUGGAUAAACAUAAACAUAAAAAAAAUAGAUAAAGAUAGAUAGAUAUAUAGAAUAACAUUAAACAAACAAUGAAGAGAUGACAAAUUAAGGAUGAAAAAAUUAGGAAAAACAAAAAACGUUAAAAAAUUAGAAACUACCUUCAAAGUUGAGGAAUCGGAAUGGAGAUCGGCUACCAGCGAAGACACGGAGACUGACAGUGAAGACCGGCGAGGACACGGCGGCGUGGCCGGCGAACGCUGACGGCGACGACGAGCGGCGGGGAGACAGGCGGGGACGAGCGGCGGGGAGGGAUUUCCAAAAGAACAGACAACGCGUCUGUUCUGAUUUGGGGUUUUUAAUAAACCCCAAAACUUUCAUGACGGAUUUCCGCCAUGUAAGUACACUUAAGUGCCGCCAGCACUAAAGUGAAAGUCCGCCCAAUCGAAAUUUGGGCGGGCUUUUUCCGCCCGAUUCCCCGAAAACAUAACAUGGCGGACAUCCGCCAUGUUAAGUCAAUUUAAUUGGGUAAUCGGGCUGAAAAUUGGGGGCCAUUCGAAAUUUUGGGCGGGAUAGUUUAGAUGGCGAAUUUCCGCCAUCUAAACACCGCCAUCGAAAGUAAUUUCGAACCGCCGUCGAUCCAAAACUUUUCCUCGGCGGAUUCAAUGAAUAGAUGGCGGACAUCAGCCAUCUAAACAACUGAAGUAUUGAUGGCGGAAAUCCGCCAUCUAAAGGCCGCCAUACAAGGUCCUUUUUUUUGUAGUGAUCAAACCCUAAGAUUCCAAAUAUUUACGAAUCUAAGUUCUUUUUCAAAAUAUAAUUUACGACGUACAAGUCUAAAUUACGAUGAAAAGUAAAUACACCUAUGAUUUUUUGCAAUUCUGAGUCGGUUUGGGAAUAUUCUGCGAAUCUGACUGACGGCUGAAUUACGACUCUUAAUUACAACCAAGUUUACGGUCAGAGUGCCUAAGUGGGGGUUACAAAACCAAACUUACGUCCAGAGUGGCUAAGUGAGGGUUACUGAUGAAGCAUUGAAUCUGCUACCAGGGCUCGCGGUGGUGCGAGGUUGAUGCCGGAGGCUUUGGAGUCCACGAUGCACGCUCUACGUCAAAUACCUGCAAGUGGAAACUAGGCGAUUCUAGUGAGAAUCGGCGAGUUUCGUAGUGAUGCUCUGAUGUGAGAGAGGAACUUGAAUCGUGCCUUUGAGUGUCCCCUUGAGACCCCUUUUAUAGGAUCUCGGAGGGCGCAAUCAAAGACGGACAUCGCGCCUAUGGUCAUAUAUGGUAAUGGUGAUACAGUAUCCCGAACACGGUCACAACCUACCAACAACUAGAAGUCCGGAUAGCCUAAGAUGAGUUAAGGUAUCUAUUCUAGGGUUGGGGAGGUCCCAGGUCGAAUCCUAGGAAGAUCGACUUUCCUGGGGAUCGACUUCUGAAUAAAGUCGAUCACCAGGAAAGUCGACCCCCAGAAAGUCGAUCUCUGGAAGUCGAUCCUGGGACCCAAUCUGAUCAGUUUGGCAGUUAGGCGGUUACUGCCCAAAUGACCAUAUUGCCCCAUAAGAACCCCUAUAAAUAGAGGGCACCACCCACUCAUUAAGGGCAAGUCAUUUGGAGAAGAAGGAUUCCUAGCGAAGCAGAGCUCUGCACACUUGAGUUCCGGUCCGGUUUCCCGCGGAGUUCCCCGCUUGGCGCUUGCUUGCGCGUCUUNNNNNNNNNNNNNNNNNNNNNNNNNNNNNNNNNNNNNNNNNNNNNNNNNNNNNNNNNNNNNNNNNNNNNNNNNNNNNNNNNNNNNNNNNNNNNNNNNNNNNNNNNNNNNNNNNNNNNNNNNNNNNNNNNNNNNNNNNNNNNNNNNNNNNNNNNNNNNNNNNNNNNNNNNNNNNNNNNNNNNNNNNNNNNNNNNNNNNNNNNNNNNNNNNNNNNNNNNNNNNNNNNNNNNNNNNNNNNNNNNNNNNNNNNNNNNNNNNNNNNNNNNNNNNNNNNNNNNNNNNNNNNNNNNNNNNNNNNNNNNNNNNNNNNNNNNNNNNNNNNNNNNNNNNNNNNNNNNNNNNNNNNNNNNNNNNNNNNNNNNNNNNNNNNNNNNNNNNNNNNNNNNNNNNNNNNNNNNNNNNNNNNNNNNNNNNNNNNNNNNNNNNNNNNNNNNNNNNNNNNNNNNNNNNNNNNNNNNNNNNNNNNNNNNNNNNNNNNNNNNNNNNNNNNNNNNNNNNNNNNNNNNNNNNNNNNNNNNNNNNNNNNNNNNNNNNNNNNNNNNNNNNNNNNNNNNNNNNNNNNNNNNNNNNNNNNNNNNNNNNNNNNNNNNNNNNNNNNNNNNNNNNNNNNNNNNNNNNNNNNNNNNNNNNNNNNNNNNNNNNNNNNNNNNNNNNNNNNNNNNNNNNNNNNNNNNNNNNNNNNNNNNNNNNNNNNNNNNNNNNNNNNNNNNNNNNNNNNNNNNNNNNNNNNNNNNNNNNNNNNNNNNNNNNNNNNNNNNNNNNNNNNNNNNNNNNNNNNNNNNNNNNNNNNNNNNNNNNNNNNNNNNNNNNNNNNNNNNNNNNNNNNNNNNNNNNNNNNNNNNNNNNNNNNNNNNNNNNNNNNNNNNNNNNNNNNNNNNNNNNNNNNNNNNNNNNNNNNNNNNNNNNNNNNNNNNNNNNNNNNNNNNNNNNNNNNNNNNNNNNNNNNNNNNNNNNNNNNNNNNNNNNNNNNNNNNNNNNNNNNNNNNNNNNNNNNNNNNNNNNNNNNNNNNNNNNNNNNNNNNNNNNNNNNNNNNNNNNNNNNNNNNNNNNNNNNNNNNNNNNNNNNNNNNNNNNNNNNNNNNNNNNNNNNNNNNNNNNNNNNNNNNNNNNNNNNNNNNNNNNNNNNNNNNNNNNNNNNNNNNNNNNNNNNNNNNNNNNNNNNNNNNNNNNNNNNNNNNNNNNNNNNNNNNNNNNNNNNNNNNNNNNNNNNNNNNNNNNNNNNNNNNNNNNNNNNNNNNNNNNNNNNNNNNNNNNNNNNNNNNNNNNNNNNNNNNNNNNNNNNNNNNNNNNNNNNNNNNNNNNNNNNNNNNNNNNNNNNNNNNNNNNNNNNNNNNNNNNNNNNNNNNNNNNNNNNNNNNNNNNNNNNNNNNNNNNNNNNNNNNNNNNNNNNNNNNNNNNNNNNNNNNNNNNNNNNNNNNNNNNNNNNNNNNNNNNNNNNNNNNNNNNNNNNNNNNNNNNNNNNNNNNNNNNNNNNNNNNNNNNNNNNNNNNNNNNNNNNNNNNNNNNNNNNNNNNNNNNNNNNNNNNNNNNNNNNNNNNNNNNNNNNNNNNNNNNNNNNNNNNNNNNNNNNNNNNNNNNNNNNNNNNNNNNNNNNNNNNNNNNNNNNNNNNNNNNNNNNNNNNNNNNNNNNNNNNNNNNNNNNNNNNNNNNNNNNNNNNNNNNNNNNNNNNNNNNNNNNNNNNNNNNNNNNNNNNNNNNNNNNNNNNNNNNNNNNNNNNNNNNNNNNNNNNNNNNNNNNNNNNNNNNNNNNNNNNNNNNNNNNNNNNNNNNNNNNNNNNNNNNNNNNNNNNNNNNNNNNNNNNNNNNNNNNNNNNNNNNNNNNNNNNNNNNNNNNNNNNNNNNNNNNNNNNNNNNNNNNNNNNNNNNNNNNNNNNNNNNNNNNNNNNNNNNNNNNNNNNNNNNNNNNNNNNNNNNNNNNNNNNNNNNNNNNNNNNNNNNNNNNNNNNNNNNNNNNNNNNNNNNNNNNNNNNNNNNNNNNNNNNNNNNNNNNNNNNNNNNNNNNNNNNNNNNNNNNNNNNNNNNNNNNNNNNNNNNNNNNNNNNNNNNNNNNNNNNNNNNNNNNNNNNNNNNNNNNNNNNNNNNNNNNNNNNNNNNNNNNNNNNNNNNNNNNNNNNNNNNNNNNNNNNNNNNNNNNNNNNNNNNNNNNNNNNNNNNNNNNNNNNNNNNNNNNNNNNNNNNNNNNNNNNNNNNNNNNNNNNNNNNNNNNNNNNNNNNNNNNNNNNNNNNNNNNNNNNNNNNNNNNNNNNNNNNNNNNNNNNNNNNNNNNNNNNNNNNNNNNNNNNNNNNNNNNNNNNNNNNNNNNNNNNNNNNNNNNNNNNNNNNNNNNNNNNNNNNNNNNNNNNNNNNNNNNNNNNNNNNNNNNNNNNNNNNNNNNNNNNNNNNNNNNNNNNNNNNNNNNNNNNNNNNNNNNNNNNNNNNNNNNNNNNNNNNNNNNNNNNNNNNNNNNNNNNNNNNNNNNNNNNNNNNNNNNNNNNNNNNNNNNNNNNNNNNNNNNNNNNNNNNNNNNNNNNNNNNNNNNNNNNNNNNNNNNNNNNNNNNNNNNNNNNNNNNNNNNNNNNNNNNNNNNNNNNNNNNNNNNNNNNNNNNNNNNNNNNNNNNNNNNNNNNNNNNNNNNNNNNNNNNNNNNNNNNNNNNNNNNNNNNNNNNNNNNNNNNNNNNNNNNNNNNNNNNNNNNNNNNNNNNNNNNNNNNNNNNNNNNNNNNNNNNNNNNNNNNNNNNNNNNNNNNNNNNNNNNNNNNNNNNNNNNNNNNNNNNNNNNNNNNNNNNNNNNNNNNNNNNNNNNNNNNNNNNNNNNNNNNNNNNNNNNNNNNNNNNNNNNNNNNNNNNNNNNNNNNNNNNNNNNNNNNNNNNNNNNNNNNNNNNNNNNNNNNNNNNNNNNNNNNNNNNNNNNNNNNNNNNNNNNNNNNNNNNNNNNNNNNNNNNNNNNNNNNNNNNNNNNNNNNNNNNNNNNNNNNNNNNNNNNNNNNNNNNNNNNNNNNNNNNNNNNNNNNNNNNNNNNNNNNNNNNNNNNNNNNNNNNNNNNNNNNNNNNNNNNNNNNNNNNNNNNNNNNNNNNNNNNNNNNNNNNNNNNNNNNNNNNNNNNNNNNNNNNNNNNNNNNNNNNNNNNNNNNNNNNNNNNNNNNNNNNNNNNNNNNNNNNNNNNNNNNNNNNNNNNNNNNNNNNNNNNNNNNNNNNNNNNNNNNNNNNNNNNNNNNNNNNNNNNNNNNNNNNNNNNNNNNNNNNNNNNNNNNNNNNNNNNNNNNNNNNNNNNNNNNNNNNNNNNNNNNNNNNNNNNNNNNNNNNNNNNNNNNNNNNNNNNNNNNNNNNNNNNNNNNNNNNNNNAACAAUAAUCAAUCGGCCGGUGAAGAGCAGCCGGCGCGGAUGAACCCACUUUGUAGCCCAUUUUUUCGAACGCAGCUAGGUAUAAUAUAUCUACUGAGCUGCCGUUGUCCACCAUUACUUUGUUCAGACUUAAGUCAUCCCCUAUAUCCACUUGUAUCACUAGUGGAUCCUCAUGUGGGCUGACCACGUUGUCCAGAUCUUCCUCAGAGAAGCUUAUUUCCUCGCUUGGGUACGAUCUUUUCUUAGAUUUUGGUACCGUUGUAGUCUGCAUUACUUUGCGCGAGUAGCUUCUGCUUUCUCCUACUGAUCCUCCACCGAAGAUUAAAUUGAUUACCCUUCUUUUGUGGUCAGUGUCUGAAUCGGGACUCCUUGAGCGUUGGCGCUUACCCUUGUUUUUUGGGUCCAUGCAGCCUUGUCGCCCCCUUUCUAUUUUAUUGAUGUAUUGCUUCAGCUUCCCCUCCUUCACUUGCGUGUCUAGGAAGGUGCUCAGCUCCCUGCAGUUUUCUGUAUUGUGCCCGUAAUCCUUGUGGAACUUGCAAUACCUGUUCCUCCUUGUUCGAGCCUCUUUUGUUGCAGGGUUUAACUCUUCUGGUUGAGGAAACCUUAUUCUUCCCUUUUCUUUAUUGUAGAUUUCCUCUUUUGGAGUAGUGAAAACCGUAAAUCCUAAGUCUUUGUACUUUGGAUACCUUGAUUUUCCAAACUCCUCAGAUGUCUGGUAGACCUUUCCAUCGUGUUUUGGUCUCCAGGAUGAUUCUCCUUUUUCAAACUUCUGAAAUUUCUUCUUUGGUGCUUCAUAUGCUUUUCUAUUGCUUAUAGCACCUCUCUCUUUUUCUUUCUCAUACUCUUCAGAAUUUAUGUAUUUCUGGGCCUUUGUUAGCAGGUCCUCCAUGCAUUUUACAUUACUGACGUUUAGCUUUAUUGCCAAUGGCGUGUUCAUGUCUAGCCCUUUUGAGUAUGCGCAUAUUGCGAUUGUUGUGUUUAGAUCGGAGAUUUUCUGCAUGGCUUCCAUGAAUUUAGUUGUAUAAUUCCGAAGCGUAUUUCCAUUUUGUUUGAUUGCAAACAGUGAUUCUGUGCCUUUUCUUACUCUUGUGUUUCCACAGUGUUGGGCGACGAAUUUCUUUUUUAAAUCCUCGAAACUUGUUAUGCUCCCUGGCUGAAGUUCGACGAACCACCUAUAUGUAGGCCCUUUCAGUGUUCCUGGGAAUGCUCUACAGAGGAUGUCAUCCCUUGAUGUGGCCCACUGCAUUGCUCCUACAAACAUGUUUAUGUGGUCUGCUGGGUCCAUCUUCCCAUCAUAAAUCUGCAGCCUGGGUAGCCUGAAUUUCAGAGGUGCUGGUUUUAUCAUCAGCGAUUUGUGCAGGGCAUCCAUGCCUACCAGCCAAUUUGGAACCUCGCCUCCUCCUUCUGUGUCUCCCGUGCUUUCUUCCUGUACGGGUUUUCUGAAAAGAGGUUUGGGUUGCUCCUCUGGCUUUCGAGGUAGUGGUGCGCUGAAGUGAGCUGCUCUAUGACUUGACACCUCCUGCUGCACCUUGGCCUGCUUCGAGGUCUGAGCUUUUGAAUGGUAUAUUGAUGCUUUAGAUUUUUCAAUAUCCUUUAUUUUUUCGCUCAUUUUUGCUAUGGUUUCCUUCAUUUUUUCCAGCUCUUCUAUGGGCAUUUUUACGAACCCAUGAGUGGAUUCUGAUGCAGCAGCCCUUGGUUCCUUGCUGCUUGUGAGUCCCCCCUUUUGAGGUUGUUCUUCCGAAGGUUUCUCCUUUUCAGCAAGGAGUCGGAUGGCCUCUGCUAUCGCCUGAACUGUGAUGUUCAGAUUCUCCCCUCCUGCUGAAGCUUGGGGAGUUUGCCCGGGUUCACCUUCGGGUUCAGCCUCAGGUCCUGUGGGAGUCCUCUUGUUUUUAUUGGCCUUGGGUGGUCGACCCACUGGCCUUUUAGUUUUUGAGUUGCCAGGCUGUUGCUUUGGCGCCUCCUGAGAAUUUGCUCCUCUUCCUUGGGAAGUGCUUCGAGUUACCACCAUCCUUGAGUGUUCGACUUUUCUUGGAAGGAGUGUUCGACUUUUGCUUGGAGAGAAAAGUCGAUCUUCAAAAAGUAGAUCCCUAGUGCACUUGGAGGAUUCCUUGGAAGUCGAUGUCUGAAAGCCUAGCUCCUUGAGGGAUCGACUUUUUUUCCUUGGAAGAAAAAGUCGAUCUUCUGAAAAGUUGAUCCCUUGCUGGCUGAUUUCCUCGCAAGACUCCCUAGCUGGCGACUUGGAAAAAAGUCGAUCACUUUUUUCGAAAAAGUCGAGGAGCUUUUGUCGUGAGUAUCUUUGAGUCACAGACGGCGCCAACUGAUGGGGGUGAAACCCGACUAGUACUCCAAGACGCGCAAGCAAGCGCCAAGCGGGGAACUCCGCGGGAAACCGGACCGGAACUCAAGUGUGCAGAGCUCUGCUUCGCUAGGAAUCCUUCUUCUCCAAAUGACUUGCCUUUAAUGAGUGGGGGGUGCCCUCUAUUUAUAGGGGUUCUUAUGGGGGCAAUAUGGUCAUUUGGGCAGUAACCGCCUAACUGCCUANNNNNNNNNNNNNNNNNNNNNNNNNNNNNNNNNNNNNNNNNNNNNNNNNNNNNNNNNNNNNNNNNNNNNNNNNNNNNNNNNNNNNNNNNNNNNNNNNNNNUCUGGGGGUCGACUUUUCCUGGUGAUCGACUUUACUCAAAAGUCGAUCCCAGGGAAGUCGAUCCUCAGGAAAGUCGAUCUUCCUAGGAUUCGACCUGGGACCUCCCCAACCCUAGAAUAGAUACCUCAACUCAUCUUAGGCUAUCCGGACUUCUAGUUGCUGGUAGGUUGUGACCGUGUUCGGGAUACUGUAUCACCAGUACUCCCCCCUCCUCUGCGUAUUAGAUACUUUGGGAUACUUCUUUUAGUACUAUGGUCUGCGUGUCGGACCCUGUACUAUCAGUUCCCCCCUCUUUGCGUGCUGGGAUGUGGAUUUCUGGUGAUGUCCCUGGAUGUAAGAUCCUCUCUCACCAGGUACAUAUAUUGAAAAUCGAAUCUUGGUCCUCAAAUAUCUUAAUAAUGACUUUGACAAACUUAGCUAAUCAAGUUGUGUAUAUCGACCUCAAUCUAUUAGUGUCAAUGCUUAAGUGAUUGAAGAAAAUCUACCAUUUGUGGUGAUUUCUCUCUUCCUACAAAUGCAUAUGUUGAAUUUGAUGAAGAAAAGGAUUAGAUCAGAUCAUAUAUGUUCUUAUGUCGAUAUGCAUUGGCUAACCAUAAUUAUUAAAAUGGAUGAAAAUCUCAUGCAAAAGUUAGUGUGAUUUUGAUGGCUUGCAAAGAAACUGAAUCAAGAAAUGCAAGCAGAUAAUAAAAAGUUUGUUUUCAAUUCGCAAUAAUUGACAUCAAAUAUUUAUUUUCAUUUAGAUGAAGAUCCAUUAUUAACCGAAUCAACAUUGAAAAUCCAACAUUAAAUUAAAAUGAAAAUUACUAUUACUAUGUUUUUUAAUUAAAUAAAUGUUUAUUUAAUUAAUUAAAUAAUUUCUGUUUUUAUUUAAUUAAUUAAAUAAAUUACUGUUUUUAAUUAAAUAAAUAAUUAAUAAUGUUUUUAAAUAAAUAAAUAAUUUACUGUUUUUAAAUAAUUUUAAAAUUAAUGAAAUUCUAUAAUUUAUUUACUGUUUUUAAUUAAAUAAUUAAUAAUGUUUUUAAAUAAAUAAAUAAUUUACUGUUUUUAAAUAUUUUUAAAAUUAAUGAAAUUUUUUAUUUUAUUUACUGUUUUUAAUUAAAUAAUUAACAAUUUUUUUAAAUAAUUAAAUAAUUUAUUGUUUUUAAAUAAUUUAAAAAUUAAUUAUUUUGUUUUAUAUUUGUAUGUUGUAGGUUCUGAAUUCGGAUUUGGAAUUCGAAUUAAUUAUUAAUUAAACCGAUCUUUCGUAAAAUUCGGAUUUGGAAGCUAUAUUGCGGUAAAAAAUUAAAUUUAUUUAUUUAAUUAACUAAUUUUUAAAUUUAUAGUAAAAUGAAAUGAUUAAAUUAUCAAUAGAAAUAAUAAUUAGUAUAUUAUUAAUUGAUUAAAAUUUAUUAAAUAAUAAUAAUUAAUAACAAUUAGUAUAUUAUUAAAUUAUUAAAUAACAAUUAAAUUAACUAAUUAUUAAAUUGAAAUAAUAAUGAUUAAUUUGCAUGAAAAUAAUUUGUAAAUUAAUAAUGUAAAUUAAUUGCCAAUUGAAAGAUUUAAUUAAGAAUUUAAUUAAUUUGCAUGAAAUUAAAAAUUGACUUAUUAAAUUGAAUAUUAAUUAAUUAUUAAUUAAUUUACAAUUAUUAAAUAUUAAUUAAUUUCCAUGAAAUAAAAUAAUUUGUUAAUAAUGAAAUAUUGAAAUAUUGAAAAAUUUAAUUUUAAAAUUAUUUAAUUAAUCUUAAUACAAUUUAAUUAAUUUGCAUGAAAUUAAUUUGUAUAAAAUUUGAAAUUUGUUAAUUAUUAAUGAUUAAUUUGUAUGAAAUUAUAGAAAUCUUAAUUAAUAAUUAUUAAAUUGAAUGAUUUUAAAUUGAAAUAAUUAUCAUUAAUUUGCCAUGAAAUUAAAUUUGAUAAUUAAUGAAAUGAUUAUUUGUUUAAAAAUGAAUGAUUAUUUAAUUAUUUGUUUAAUAAUUAAUAAUUAUUUAUUUUUAUUUUUUUAGAUUUUAAAAAUGCCACGUAGAGUGAAGCAAUUACCUCGUAAGAGGACUUUACCACCCAAUCCCCAAGAUGCUUUCCGGUUUUAUCUCCCGGUUCAUCCUGCACCAGCACAUGUACGUCCAGCACCAGAACCUGUACGUCCAGCACCGGCACCUGUUCGUCCAGCAUCGGCCCCUCCAGUUCCGCAACCAGCAACUCCGAAAAAAGUCGUUUAUGAAACGGAUUCGGAAUAGUUCAAUAAUUAGCUAGAUUUUCCAAAAAAAAUUGAACUUAAUAUUAAUUGAACGAUAAUUAAUAUUGUAAUAGUCAAUUAAGUUUUAUCUAAUUAAUUAUAAUUCGAUAAAAAUCUAAUUUUUUAGGAUAAUGUCGAACCUCAUGAAAGUACCCGAUAAAGCUUGGAUGAGUUUAGAUUGGUUUUCGAAAGAAUACGGUAAAGGGUUAACAGCUUUCACUAAUUUCGCCAUUUCGAAUUAGACUCACCUAGAAGGUUAUUUACCUUGUCCAUGCUCGUCCUGCAUGAAUAGUGAAGUGAUUCUUAUAAAGGAGAUGAAAAAGCAUGUUUUCAUAAAUGGUUGGUUGAAACAUUACGACGUUUGGACACAUCACGGAGAGUUACCGAGUAGAUAUGCUGAGAAAAAAGUGAAACGAAAAGAGACAGUGCCGGAAACUGGUAAUGAUAUGAUUGGAUUGGUUCAUGCGGUUUACGGAGAACAUGUAGUUGAGAAUACAGUCGACGAAGAAUUUCUCGAAUACGAGCCUGUCCAUGAAGAUUCAAUCGAUGUAGAUCCAGUCGACGAAGAUCAAGUCGACGAAGAUCCAGAGCACAGAUAUGACGAUUCGUUCUUACGCCGUCUAAAAGAAGGUGAAAAACAGUUAUAUCCAGGUUGCACAGAGUUUUCCAAAUUAUUUUUUAUCUUGGAAUUGUAUCAGUUGAAAUGCGACAAUCAUUGGAGUGAUAAAAGUUUUCAGAAAUUAUUAUCCAUCAUACGUAGUGCUAUUCCAAAUGGGGAGUCAACCAUUUCGAAAACCAUGUACCAUGCGAAAUCGGUGGUUCGUGACUUGGGCCUCAAUUAUACGAAAAUCGAUGCAUGUCGCAACGAUUGUAUUUUAUAUCGAAAUGAGUAUACAGACGCAGAAACUUGCCUGAAUUGCGGAACGUGUAGGUGGGUCGUCGAAGGCAUUCGGAAAAACAAACGUGUUCCAGCGAAAUGUCUUCGUCACUUUCCGUUCAUUCCGCGUUUGAAGAGAUUGUAUCUGUGUUCCAAAAUUUCUGAAGACAUGAUAUGUCACCAUUCCAAACAUAAAGACGACGGAUUUCUUCGGCAUCCAGCUGAUUCUUUACAAUGGAAGAAAUUUGACGAGGUUCAUCCCAAAUUUGCAUCCGAACCACGUAAUGUGAGACUUGGUUUAGCAACUGAUGGAUUUAACCUCGUAAAACGAAAGAUAAUUUGAACGCGAGGUUGGAUUUACAAUCGAUGAGAAUCCGAAAAGAACUUCAUCCUAUUCGACGGGGAGAAGAAUGAGACAUUCCGAGUGCGUGUCUCAACUUAACGACGAAAGAAAAGAUAUUAUUUCUGUCAGUGUUUAAAUCCCUUCGACUUCCCGAUGAAUAUUGUUCUAACAUUUCUAGAAACGUGAAAAUGAAAGAAAGAAAAUUUAUCGGAUUGAAAAGUCACAGUUAUGAAUGGAUUAAAAUUUUAGACAUCAGAAUUGACAAAUCGAAGAUCGACGUAAAAUAACGGUAUUUUUCUUUCGGCUACAACAUCAACGUUUGCUAAAUCUCCAAAUGAUGCUCCGUUGGUAGCAGAAAUUGAAUAUCAUGGAUUAUUAGAAAAUGUUUUCGAAAUUUGCUACGGUCACACGACUAAAUAUUGUCUGUUUGAAUGUAAGUGGUACGAUCCUGAAAAAGCAGGUACAAAAGUCGAUAAUUUUGGUGUCGUUUCAGUGAACACGACACGGGGAAAAUUUGGAAAGGAAUCUUUCAUUUUGGCAAAUCAGGUUCAACAAUGUUUCUACAUUCAAGAUCCGAUAGAAUCUGAAUGAAGUUCCGUCCUUAAAAUACCAAAUAGAGAUAUUUUCGAUGUUGAUAAUGAUGAUUGUUGUAAUUAAAUUAUAAAGUAUUACAUUACAAUAUAAUUUAAUAUUUUGAAUAUAAUAUCAUGUUAAUUAUAAAUAUUUCUUUUUUUCAGUAAAAAAUGAGUCAACUACUUGCAAUCGUCGAACGAUAUGAAUGACUCAUGCGACUAAACCAGAUUCAACGUAGUUUGUACAGAAACAUAGAUUAUUAUUGUCGUGUUUUUGCUUGUUUUCGUUGCGGAGUCAACGGUCAUCAUUUUCACAACUGUUCAAAAAAUGGUCGAGAAAUCCUCAAAUAAUGGAAACCGGUCAGAUUUUAGUGUUAGGAUACGAAGCUAGAGUUGUAGGCACACAUUCAUUCAAAAUCGAAUACAACUCUUCUUACGACGAUUUCGAAGAUUUGUUGUGUCUAAUAAUAAAGAAUAUAAAUUACAAUAGGAAAAAUGUUUGGUUGUUGUGUCAGACUAAGACCCCAUAUACGGGUGUCUGGAUAUGUAUUUAAAUUAACUAAUUUUAUUUUAAAAUUUAAAUAUUUCAGAUUAUGUUUACUUUUUUCGUUCUGAUCGGUGUGAUAACACCUUUCAUGGCAUUGGCGAUGGUUACAUCUCGUCGCUCUUUUGAAGAGUCAAGCUCAAGUGGUCAGUUCAUUAUUCAUAUUUUAAAUAUUAUCAUAAUUUUUAUUAAAUAUUAAUUCUUAAAUAUGUAAAUUAAUUAGAUGCGAGACCAUCCACAUCGAAUGUGCCUCUAAAGAAGAAGGGUCGUGGUCGCACAAAAGACCAUCCCCAUACCCAUCCAGAAAAAAGUACGAAAUGGAAGGUCAUGUUUGAAAACACGAACCAAGCGACGGAUGAAAUGACGAAGAAAUUAACCACAAAAAUGGCUCUUUUAGCAAAAGACUAUACUUUCUUCCCGUACAACAUUGAGUGAUGUCAUCAACCACAACAAAAUUUUCAGGACGCGUUGAAAAUAUUAACUGUAAGUAUAUAUAUUUUUUAUAAUAUUUAUUAAUUUUCCAAAACUUAUAAGUUUUGAAUAUGUAGGCUGAAUACGAUUUAAAUGGAAGGAAAGUUGUACAAACUUAUAUCAAUGGUAGGUUGAACAAACUCUAGAGGAGCAACCAUAAUUCUUUGGUUAAAACUUAUGGCUUGGAUCCUAAUAUGAGAGAAGAAGAUAAUUUAGCGACUCUUCCACCGUAUGUCAGCAAACCUCAAUUUCUGAAUAAAUUUAGACAACAUCGAUCGGAAAGAGGACAGGUACGUAUAUGUGUAUAUAUAUAUUUAUUAUAUUAAUAAAUUUAAAAACUUAUUAUUUUUUAUAAUUUCAGCAAAUUUCUGAGAUAAAUACCGCGAACCGAGCGAAUCAAAUGGCACAUCACGCUGGUUCAAAAGGAUUAGCGCAACGACGUCUUGAAUUGGUAAUUUAUUCAUAAUUUAUAUCUAAUUUAAUUAUAUAUUAAUGAAUUAUGUGAAUAUAGAUGCAACAAGGAAGGAGUGAAGUCGAAACUUGGUCAGAGACUUUACAAAUGACAUAUAAAGGAAGCGAUAAAGUUGUAAGUUUUUUUUUAAAAUUAUUUAUAUUUUAUAAUUUCUAUUAUCAUUGUUUGAUUUUGUUAUUCUUUCAACUUGAAGCCACAGAUUUUAUCAGAAGUCAAGAGGCAAAAUCGUGGGCUGAAUCUGAAGCAAUGACUCCAUUUGUAAGUUCCAUUGAUUAUUUUAAACAUAUUUCGCAUUUACUAUUUAUUUACUUUUUAUAAUGUAGCAAUUUAUCGAAGCGACGGUCAACAAGACUUUCGGAAAAAAUAAAAAGAAUAGGAUCAUAGGAAUUGGAGAACCUGCCAGUAUGGUGAGCACAACGAACGAAAGAUGGGCUUCUCCAAAUUGGAAAGAAAAAGAGCCGAUCUCCGAAAACACGACUACUGAUGCAGCACCAGAUGCAGCUUGGUCGGAAAAAUUCAAAGAAUUAGAGGUAUUUUAAAUAUAUUUCAAUAAUUUUGUAGAUAAUCUAACUCAUUUUUGUUUUCAUUUUCAGAACAAGUGUAACGAGAGUCAGAAGACGUCUCCAAAUAUAAGAAGAAGUUCAAUGCCAUGAAAUCUUAUAUCAAGAAACUCAAUAAGACUUUGAAGACUUCCGGACUCGAUAUGACGCACAUGGCUUCCAUUUCAAAGUCCACCAUACCGUCUGCAUUAGAAUCAGAUAUUUCGGAUUCUGAUUCAGAAGACUCGAUUUCAGACGAGUGUUGAUUAAACUAUUUUUAUAUUUGUUUAUUCAAACAUCGAAUGUUUAACGAUUCUGUAUUUUAGUUUAUUUUUAAUAAAAACAUCGAUUUCAAUUUCAAUUUAAAAAUCGCUUUCUCAAAUAUCGAUUUCUAAUUAAAAAAACAACGAUUCGAACGCAAAAUAUAUAAGCUUGUUUUAAAAAGAAAUUAAAACAAACAUUGUAUGGCGGAUUUCCACCAUUCAUACUCUUCUAUUAAGGUUUAGAUGGCGGAAAUCCACCAUCUAAAUAUGGGCACAAUCGCCCUCUCCCAGGAAUAGAUGGCGGAUAUCCGCCAUCUAUAAACUUAGGGAACCGCCUGAUGUACUUUCAAUGGCGGAUUUCCACCAUCUAAUGUUACAAAGAUAGUCGGCAGACAUCCGCCAUCAAUAAAAUUAACCGCCAUCAAUGAAUUGGCGUCAAACUUUUUCCGCGCCAUAUUUUAGAUGGUGGAAAUCCACCAUCUAAAAAUUUUCAGUUCCCGCGAAAAUUUUCAGAUUAGAUACAAUUUUCAGUUCCCGCGGAUUUCCGCCAUCUAUACAAUUUUUGGUGAGAAAUGGGGAUGGAUAAUAGAUGGCGGUCUUUAGAUGGCGGUUAUGGGGUUUUAAUGGCGGUGUCCAAGAUGACGGUCUUUAGAUAGCGGAUUUCCGCCGACGAUCACUUUAGAUGGCGGAUUUCCGCCAUCUAAAGACUACCAUACAAGGUCUUAUUUCUUGUAGUGUCUCUUCCAAGCUAGAUGACAUCGUCAAUUCUUUAGACUCACUUCAUAAGGAGUUUUCUGAUUCCUCAGCGUUAUGUUUUGAUUCCUCAACGUUGGUAUCGAUGUUUACAUCAUUUCCAACAUAAUACCAUGUUAAAUCGACGAGGUGCUCGAGUUGGCGAGAUGACCGGCUUUGAGCCGACAGGGUUGUUCAACGGAGUUGCCAUAGAAAGAAGAGGGAAACUGGGAUUUUGAAGAACGCUUAACCAAAGUGAACCGGUGGUUAAGCAGACUGGGUUUAGAAAGAAAUUAGAGUGAAAUUACUUUCUGUAUAGAUUGAAUGAUAUUGAGAGUUAAUUACAAUUAUCUUAUAAUGAAUUCACUAACUAUUACAUAACUAACUCUCAACUAAAAUAAAACUAAAUUCAAUUCUUAAUUUCGUAGCCCAACACUUGAAUCUGGUCCAUAUACAAUUGGCCCAUUUUCUUUUAUUGAAACUAUUGCGCAUUAGCCCUCCAGCUUCUUUUAUAUCCUAAACUUAAGUGUUGGGUAAAUUGUCUGCACAGUAAACACUUCACAGAAACUAUUAACAGAUAUUGAACUUAAUAGAAAUUGCAGUUUAGUCCUGAGUUCAGUUUAAUAUAAUUUCAGUAAUUCUGUUUAUUGUUUUAAACACUGUUUAAGGUUUAUUAAAUCCUUUAAGAACUAAUGUCCAGGGUACGACUUCGGAUUUCGGUAUACCAUUUACAUGCUUACAUACAUGAGAAGACAACUUCAAGUCGUAAAUCGAUCGCCAUUAUUUUUAAACAAACGUGAGAUAUUCUUAAGGGUCGUUGAUGAAGCACGUAAUAUGCUACUAGGGGGCUCGGGGGGUUGCGAGAUGAGCCGGAGGCUUUGUAGUCUACGAUGUGCGCUCUACGUCAAUGUACCUACAGAGAGGAGGGGAAUCGGUGACUCAGCAAGGGAGUCGGCUAUUCGGGCUCCUGAAGGUGCUCUGGUUGGAGUGUGUUGUCAAGUAUGUUGGAGAGGAAUGAGAUGAUGAAUGAGGACCCCCAGAGGGUCCCUUUUAUAGGGUCCUUGGGGCGUUUCUCAUUCAUUAUUCCUGGGGCCCACGCCAUUAUGGUGCCCUAUUGAUGGUGCCAUAAUGAUGCUGGCCAAGUCAAGUAACGCCUGGGAGUUGGCGACUUAGGUGUGGGAGUCGGCGACUCAGGGUGGAACCAUCGAUUCCCCAUGAGCCAGGUUGACAGUCUACCAGAACUGACCAACUAGGCCUGGAAUCGAUGGCUCACUACUGGAGUCGGAGACUUAGUAGUCCCAGUCGUCGAUUCCCAGUGUUGACUUGAGUACUUGACGUAGACAUUUGCCCGCAACCGUGGAGCUCUCCGGGGGUCCGGCAUAAAGCGAUGGAACCCUAGUCCUUGUUGAAGGGCAUUGUUGGGAGUAACUGACGUAAUCAGGCAUUUCUCACCAGUACUCCCCCCUAAAGAGAGCACAAGAAACAUGCGUGUACCGCCAGUAUCCCCCCAAGCAAGGAUAUUGUGUGAUCCGCAUCACUAUCAGAUGGGAUUGAAUCAUUGCGGCCAUAGCGACACAGUGAUCUCGUAUCCAUCACUAUCAGAUGGAUUGAUUAAUUAUCAGAAUCUAGUUCCAGGCCAACGGAACUACGUGUUUAUAGUCCAUCCCUGAUCAAGGGCGACUUUUGCUGUGUCAUCAAGGCCAAAGCGACAAGAUGAAUUGACUCACUAUCAGAGUUUGAUUCUGGCCGAAGCGACAGAAUUUAUUGAUUCACUAUUAGAAUCUAGUUCACUAUUAUAACUAAUGUUUAUAGUCAACUCUGAUCAAGAGCGACUUUUUGUCCACAACGAUGGUUACCCCAUCAAGGCCAAAGCGACAAGAUGGGUUGAGAUCAUUAAGGCCAAAGUGACAAAAUAAUCUCUAGUCUAUCAAGGCCAAAGAGACAAGAUAGAUUGACUCACUAUGAGAGUCUGACUCACUGUUAGAGUCUGGUUCACUAUUAGAACCUAAUUCACUAUUAGAAUCUUACCUGCAAAAAAGAAAACAUCCUGCAAAAUAACUAGAUCAGUCUAAAAUGCAUAUUAUUAUUGACUUAUUGAACUUACCGUGCGAUUUUACCUUCCGUGAUGCCCCUCCUUUGCUCAAAUUGAUCAUUGGUAAAUCUGACCGAAGCGACAGAAUUUACCGUGCUCAAAUUUUUUGACGACUUCUGGCCGAAGCGACAGAAGUGUCGGGAGAGCUUGUAAUACUCCCCCUCGAAAUGUGACGACUUUUAGCCGAAGCGACAGAAGUGUCGGGAGAGCUUAUGAUACUCCCCCUCGAAAUGUGACGACUUCUGGCCGAAGCGACAGAAGUGUCGGGAGAGCUUGUGAUACUCCCCCUCGAAAUGUGAGGACUUCUGGCCGAAGCGACAGAAGUGUCGGGAGAGCUUGUGAUACUCCCUCUCGAAAUGUGACGACUUCUGCCUGAAGCGACAGAAGUGUCGGGAGAGCUUGUGAUACCCCCCCUCGAAAUCGUGCCAUUAUGACACAUAACCUUUGGAAUGAGUAGUUUGAUUGUCAAUGGGCUAUCUUUUGUUUUUUCUUUCUAAUCUUUCAUAUAAAUUACCCUUUAAAUUAUAACUAAGGCCCGAAACUAGAUUCACAAGUCGUAAUUUAGCCACUCUGUAUGUAAAUUAGACUCUGCUAACCCUAUUGCUAGCCACUCUGGGUGUAGACUUGGUCAUACGAAUCGUAGCUCAGCCUACGGUUAAAUUUGCGGAUAAUUUAUACCUCCAGAUUAACGUAGAGUUAUAAAAUAUAGAGCAAACGACGAAUCCAAAAAAUAUUCGAAAUUCGAGGGUUACCUUUGUAAUUUUUAUUUACGUCUUAGUUUGAACCCUGAUGCCGGUAAGAGCUUAUGAUACUCCCCCCUGAGAUGUGACGACUUCUGGCCGAAGCCACAGAAGUGUUGGAGAGAGCUUGUGAUACUCCCUCCUGAAAAUAUGUUGUUUACCCUGAGUCGGCGACUAGGUGCCCCAAUCGUCGACUCCUAUGUUUUGGGUAACUGUGAGAGUUGUUUUGAAAUUUCCCCGCCUUGAGUCAGCGACUCCCUCUGGGAAUCUUCGACUCCUAUUGUGAAACGUAGGAUCUCUCAGAAGAUCGUUGGAGAUAUUUGGAGAAUAUAUGCAAAUUUUUCAAUUAAGGAAAUAUAUCUCUCAAAUUUUGCAAAAUAGUUACCGGAAUCGACGAUUCAGCAUGGGAAUCGUCGACUCGGGCGUGAUUUCAGGGAUUUGGAGAUCGAUUUCCGAUUCCUUCUCUUGCAAUUUCUGGAUUUUCUAGGGGGUUUUUGCAAUUUUCCCAGGGGCUAGAAAUAGUGGCGAGCGAUUCACACUUCUCACUCAACUUUUCCCCAAAUUGAAUCGCCUAACCAAACCCUAGAACCCUCUGUCACCGAUUCCCUAGUUCAAUUCAACUCGAGUCGACGACUCCGAGAUGGCAAGAACUAGUCCUCACCAAACUGAUGCCGAGGCCGCCGCCAUGAUCGCGGAGAUGGCCAGAGAAGACAUCAUCGUCGAGAUGCUGAACACCGUUGAGUCGCCGAUUCCAUCUCCUCCCAGAGACGUUGAAUCGACGAUUCCGGUAGUUCCAUCUGCCGACGACAAUCUGAGUACUUCUGUGCAUGAACUGCUGGAGCCUAUGGCUGGGUGGACGAUUCCCUCUGUGGGAUCGACGAUUCCGGACAAGGUUCCGGAAGUCAUGCCAGAGGCUGAGCAGGGAGAAAUACUUGGUGAGUCCACGAAUCCCACUAGCUUCGGGGUCGCCGAUUCCCAGGGGUUUAAAGAAGAAAGCCUUCUUCAAGAGAAGGGAUAAGAUGGUCGCCGACUCAGAAGCAGCUAAUAUACGCUAUGAGUCGGCGACUGGCCAGGAUGAAUCGACGACUCCCGUAGUUGAGUCGGCAAUUCCUAUUGUAAUAGUGAAUGAUUCAAGUACGCAUCCUGAGCCACUUGUUGUAAAUGCUAAGGGUCUCAUCGUAUCUGGGAUGAACCCUAAUAAACGACAAUCUGAGGACAAUGGUUCCAAGAAGAAGAGACGACGACGAAGCCAUGGCAAGGGUAAAAUCCAUGUGCCUGGCCAAGAGGAGAAGGCUGAGAAUCCUCAAAACUUGAAUUUCGACAAGGAGUUAGUCUUCGAACGUAAAGUUCCCAACCCCGCCCCUAAUGCGGGUCAACGCUUGAGAGAAAGAACUCCUCCACCUCCAGUCGAGAUGGAUCUUGGUCAUGAUCCUUAUGCUGAUUUCCCUAGCUACAUUGGGAUAGUGAACCCGACUGGAUAUGCGCAUUGCGAGAAGUUUGUUAAUGGCGCAAUACAGUUGCUCCCUUCGACCGAUCGGGCGAGGGUCGAUUUGAACAAGUGAUGACUAUGGCGACGCUUACGCGUCAAUCUGAUGUACAUCUCCCUUCCAUCAUCAGCGCGAGCGAGGCUCGAGAUCUUUUGAGGGGGAUGAGGAUUUCGGGACACCUCCGCUUCUGGAUGUCUCAAUACCAGCCUACGAACCUCCCACCACCGGGGUUCCAGGCCUUGCCGAAGAUGUAUUUCAAGCACUUCUCUGAGCUGCCAAUUCCAGAGCUCAUGAGUGAGAUAUUGCUUACUUUCGAGACCUCGCUGUCACAACUACCAGCAGGAUUCUUUGUAACGCUGCGAGGAUUCUCCAACAUCUGUUGGAGCUUGAACAUCACUCCCACUCCGCACUUUUUCCUCAACUAUUAUAAGUUGUGCAAGGAUGGGAAGGUUGGAUCAGGUCGUCUCGGGUUGGCGCGACGAAACCUUGAUCGCAACCUGGUUGAUGAUCUUCCUUCUAACCACGGAGUGUGAAAGAAGGAGUUUGUUUUUGUCAAUUCUGAAUUUCUUCCCGGGAGUCGGGAAAGUUGGGCGAACCCGAACUGCACGCAGCUGAGCGCAAACCUAGGCUUAAUGGCGGAUGAUGUGAUUGCCACCACCAAGAUUGCCAAGGCUCUGAAAGCUAAUAACUUGCUUCCUGGCGUGCCUUUUGUCCUCUGCCAGCGUGAGGACUAUACUUUUGAAGAUGUUGAGGAGGCUCUGAAACCUCCCACGAAGGAAGAGAUUGCGAGCGGGAAGAAGCGCACACUCUUGUUCUUUGAUGCUGCCGCUCUGCACAUGGCUGCGAGGUACCGACGGGCGAAGCUGAUCAGAUUGGAGAAAACUAAUGCUUCCAAGCCCAAAAGUACUUUUGAGAGGGGUUCAAGUUCUCAAGCUGCCCUUGAGAAAUCAGGUUUCGCACCCUACAUGAGUGGCGUGGCUCUCCCUGACUUUAUGGCUGAUCCACAAGUCAGAGCGGAUGCCAUGUCCAUCCUCAUGGCGAAACCUGGGAGAUGGGUUCGGAGUGAGCUCAUGACAGCUCUGAAUGCUGUAAGUGCUUCUAAUCUUCCGAAAACAUUUUUAUUUAUUUUUUAUUGUUUGCUAACUUGUUUUGUUUUUGUAGGUUUGCUAUAUGGCCCAUGCGUGUUUCGGCAUGGACUCGAUUAAUAACGUCCAAAGAAUUUUUUAGAAUAAGUGACGUAAGCACUUAGAACUUUUUUCGAUCCUCAGACUCUAGAUUUCAUUCCCUAAUAUGUAGUUGAACUCUGGCCGAAGCGACAGAGUAACUUUUUACCCUCAUCAAAGCCAUAGCGACAAGAUGGGGUUGGAUCUUUAAGGCGAUAGCGACAAAACAAUUUUUCAUCUAUUAAGGCCAUAGCGACAGAAUAGACUUUUGUAUGUGUUGUGGGUACUUAGAACCUCUUGGGGUUAGGUUCACUUAUGCUUAUCAACUACCUAAGACUCUACACUUAGACCCUAAUGUGUAGUUGAACUCUGGCCGAAGCGACAAAGUAACUUUUGGACCCACAUCAAAGCCAAAGCGACAAGAUGGGGUAGGAUCGUUAUGGCCAAAGCGACAAAACGAUUUUAAUCUAUUAAGGCUGAAGCGACAAAAUAGAUUUCUAAUUAAGGUAGGGUGCUAGUUAGAGUCUUAGGUAGGUGAUUUUGAAAGAAAUGCCAACUUUAUUGACUUUUUGAAAUAAGAAUUACAAAGAUAAAAUCUAACUAUUCUACUUUGUAAUUUGUACUAGCAUAUAUACUAAGAGGACCUAAGAAAUAAUGUGUUCAAUACUAAGCGUAGUAUUGCUGCAUAUUGUCCGCGUGCCAGGUGUUUGGAACCAUUGUUCCAUCCUGCCGCCGUAGACGAUAAGUUCCUGACCUUAUCUCCUCUUCGACGAUGUAGGGACCUUCGAAGUUGGAUGACAGCUUAUUCCUUGGUCUAUUCCUCUCAGUUAUGCUAGCCUUCCGCAUGACGAGAGUUCCUGGCAGGAAGACUUUUUUGCGUACUUGGCGAUUGUGGUAUCUCAAUACGCUUGCCUUGUACGAUUUGUUCCGCAAGUCCGCCUCGUCACGGGUUUCAUCCCUCAACUCUAGCUCUGUAGCUAGAUUUUGGUCAUUUGUUUGUUCGACGUACUUAGAGACUCGGUAUGUUGGUAUACUCAUCUCAAUUGGUACAACUGCCUCCACUCCAUAGGUCAUAGCGAAAGGAGUGUUGCCCGUGGGGUUUUUACUUAUUGUGCGAUAUGCCCAUAGGAUUUCGCACAACUAGUCUGCCCAGGCCCCUUUGGCUGAUUCGACUUUCUUUUUCAAUCCUUGUACGAUGGCCUUGUUGGUUACCUCCACUUGUCUGUUUGCCUGAAGUCGGUAAACGGAAGCAAAGUGGAGUUUUAUGUUUAGGUCCUCGCACAUACUUGAAAAUUUCCCCCCUGUGAAUUGGGUACCAUUGUCUGUGACAAUAUGUUGGGGGACUCCGAAUCAACAUACUAUGGAGCGGUAGACGAACUUGACUGUCGCAUCCUGAGUGAUCUUCGCUACAGCCUGAGCCACGACCCACUUUGUAAAGUAAUCUACUGCUACAAAGAUGAAUCGAGCUUGGGAUGUUGAAGGUGGGAAUGGUCCUACGAUGUCCAGUCCUUACCUUGCAAACGGGAUCGAGCUCAGAAUCGGAGUCAUAUCCGCGGAUGGUUUCUGUUGCAUUGGACUAUGCAACUGACAUGCUCGGCACUUGCGGACGUAAAUGCGAGCUUCUAACCGUAGGGUGGGCCAAUAGUACCCUAGCCUUAUGAUUUUGAAGGCAAGUGCUCUUCCUCCCUCAUGGAGCCCGCACAAGCCUUCGUGUACUUCCUGAAUCAACUUAUACGUGUCAGUUUGAUCAAACAACACAGCAACAGGUUGUCGAAGGACUUUUUGUAAAGUAGCCCUUCGACGUCGUAAUAUUUGACUGCCUUGUGUUUUAGUUUUUUGGCCUCCCCCUUGUUGUCAAGAAGUACUCCAUUCUGAAUGAAUGCCAAUAUUGGUUGUCUCCAAUCCUCUUGGGGAUCAGACGAGACACUCAAUAUCUGGCAUGUGUGUUGGAGUAUUGAGUCCACCAAGAUUUCGCGCUGGCCUCCCUCCCAAGCCGAUGCGAGGCGUGCCAGCGCAUCGGCGGGCGUAUUUUGAGUGCGAGAAAUUUGCUCGAUUUUGAACUCGGCGAAUUGUUUGGUGAGUGCCACCAUUGCCUCUAUAUACUUAGUGAUCUGUGGUUCUUUGCAGGCAAAUUCACCCGUGGUUUGCCGAGCAACAAGCUGGGAGUCAGUGCGAAGUGUGACAUUCUCAGCGCCGAGAGUUCUCAACAGCUUCGUGCCGUGUAUAGCUGCAUCGUAUUCCGCGACAUUGUUAGAUGCCGGGAAGUGAAGCCGUACCGAGUGUUCGUAGUUUUUUCCAUCCGGACUAUGGAUUUUUACUCCGAUACUCGAGCCUGUGCUGCAACUCGAACUGUCUACUUCCAUAAUCCAGGGUUGGGCCUGGUUUGACGGUGUGAGCUCGACGAUGAAGUCCGCUACAGCUUGCCCUUUGAUGGCAGUGGCUGGUCGGAAAUCUAAGUCGAACUCACUGAGCUCGAUUUCCCAUUUGGUUAACCUUCCCGAGAUAUCUGGCUUGUUAAGAAGACGGUGUAAGGGACAUGUUGUAAGUACUAUGAACGUGUGCGCUAAGAAGUAGGCUCGAUAACGACGGCAAGCGUGGAUUACAGCAUAUACGAUUUUCUCAAUUGGUGAGUACCGUAUUUCCACACCUUGCGGUCGCCUCGAGUGACAGUAGAUAGGGAUUUGAUCUUGUCCCAUUGCUCUAUGAGGACUGCACUUACGACUUCCUCUGAAGCCGCUAUGUAUAAGUACAGGUCUUCCCUAUCCUUGGGUGAAGUCAGCAUUGGAAGUCAGGACAUAUGUGCUUUUAACUUUGUAAAUACCUCCACACAUUCCGGUAUCCAAGUGUGACUACCCUUACCCGCAGUUUUUAGUAGCUUGAAAAACGGUUUGCAUUUGUCAACCAUUUGCGAUAUGAAACGACUGAGCGCAUUAAUUCGUCCGUUCAACCUUUGUACAUUUCUGAUUGUGCGGGGGGCUUCCAUAUCAAGGAUUGCAUGGAUUUUGUCGGGAUUUGGUUUGAUCCUGUGCUGACCUACAUAGAAACCAAGGAACUUGCCUUCCUUGAUUCCGAAGGAACACUUGACCGGGUUGAGCUUCAUCCCGUAUUGCUUCAAUGUGCCAAGGGUUUCUCUCAGAUCCUCAUGGUGCAUUUCCACGCAUGACGAUUUGACCAAAAUGUCAUCAACGUAAGAGGAAACGUUGCGCCCGAUCUGGUCCGCAAAAACCUUGUCCAUUAAGCGUUGGAAUGUAGCUCUAGCAUUCCUUAAGCCGAAUGUCAUUACUCUGUAACAGAAUGUCCCUGAGUACGUGAUAAAUGAUGUUUUUUCUUCAUCAGGCUCAUGCAUCAGGAUCUGGUUAUAUCCUGAGUGGGCAUCCAUCAUAGAGAGGAGUUCGUUACCAGACACUUCAUCGACUAGUUCGUCAAUAGAUGGGAGCGGGUAACUAUCCUUGGGGCAUGCUUUAUUGAGAUCUAUGAAAUCAAUGCACAUGCGCCACUUGCCAUUGGGCUUUUUGACAAGGACGGGGUAGGCCAACCAAGUCGGAUAUCGAAUCUCUCGAAUGUGUCCAACAUUCAGAAGUUUCAAUAUCUCUUCGUUGGCGGCUUACCGUCUGUCAGAAGUGAGUACUCGACGCUUUUGGCGACGAGCUGGGAUGGAUGGGUCGAUAUUGAGCUUUUGCGUCACGAUUUGACGCGCAAUCUGUGUCGGUGCCUCACCCUCCCAAACGAACCUGUCCUGGUGCUCCUUCAGGACAAUCACAUGCUUGGCCCUUAGGUCAGGGGCUAACCCCUUCCCUAAUACCACGUGUCCCCCUUCAGCUGGUAUAUUUCAGUCUCAUCCAUGGGUUGUAAUUUUUCCCUCUCCCCAUUGUCGGGUGGGGUGUGGACGAGCAUGUUGUUUAGUUUGACCAACUGGGUUGCCUUCUUAUACCCUUGUCUAGAAUUCUUUUGUGAUCCUUUGACAGUUGCGACGAUCCCUUUGACUCGGUAUCGUAUGCACUGGUGAUAAGAAGACGGGACUGCUUUGAUCCCAUGGAUGAAGGGUCGUCCAAAGAUGCCGUUAAAAGUGGAUUCUACUUCUACCACUAUAAAACGACAUGUUCGACUAACCCUUCCUCGCCGGGAUCCGAUGGAGACCUUCAGGUCAAUAACGCUGGCCACCGGGGUGGCGACGUUUGUAAACCCUGUAGAUGGCUUCCUUGCAAGGAGACAGAUCCUCCUUUUUAAGGCCUAUCUUGGUGAAAGUGUCCAUAUAGAGGAUGUCCGCGGAACUGCCACUGUGAACAAUCAUCCUCUCGACACGGGAAGUGGGACCGAUGUCUGCUUGGAUCACGAGUGGAUCCUCAUGAGAUUGCAGGAUAUCGUCCAGGUCCUCUUCAGAGAAGUAUAUCGACUUCUCUUCGCGGACCCGCUUCCCAUUAUCACGAGGUGUUGAUUGUGACAUCAGCACCUUCCGGACAUAUCCCCUAUUAUGGCCAACGGAUCCACCACCAAAUAUCAUAUUGAUGGUUUUCUGUUGGCGGUCCUCGCUACUGUUGUUGUUUGGCGAAUGAGAGUGUGGACGCUUCCCCUUCGGGUCAGACUUACAAACGUCCUGUCCCCGGUAUCCUUUGACAAAGUUGCCAAGUUUACCCUUCGAGAUCAGUUGCUCGACAUAAAGCGAGAACUCCCUAUAAUGGUUCGUCAUGUGGCCGUGGUCCUUGUGGAAUUUACAUAAUCUUCCACCUUUUUUACAGCUACCCUUAGUUGCAGGUUCCAAAGAACGAGGAGCGGGCAGAUCCGCUCGGUUCUUCAGUUUCUCAAACAACUCGCCUUUGCUGAUUGUUAGUGGGGUCCAAUCCUUCCAUGGUUGGGGUGGACCCUUUGACGACUGUUUGGUAGAGGUCUGAUACACCUUGUUGUCGUGUUUGGGCUUCCAUUCCUUUUUGAAGGAAUCAGCCGCAUUGUCAGUGUAUUUGUUCGAGGAGCCAUGAAAAUUGUUCUUCCCAUUGUAGCUCUUCUUCUCGAACCUUGGUUUUUUGAAGCUAGUGCUCUCAAGUUCCACUAGCCUGUUUUCAUUUUCCUCUUCCACCUCAAUGUAUGAUUGAGUUUGCUGGAAGAGGUCUGGUAAAGUCUCCACUUUAUGGAGCAUAAGAUUCUGGGCCAAAGGGGAGUAGGGUACCGGCCCUUUCAUGUACCCCGCUAUGGCCAGACUCGGGAUUAAGUCGCUCACUUCUAUCAUCAUUGAAGUGAACUUAAUCGUAUAAUCCCUUAACGACAGCUUGUUUUGUCGUAGUGCCAGCAGUGCAUUGUCACUGUGUUUAAUCCUGAUCAUCCCCACAUGUUGGGCGAUGAACUUGGACGAGUGGUGUGCAAAGCUGGAGAUUGAUCCAGCUGACAGAUCGGAAAACCUCCGAUAAGCAUUGCCCUUGAGAGUGUCGGGGAAUGCCUGACACAACAGCGCGUUAUCGGUGGUUUGCAAUCAUAGUGGGUUCCUGCAUAAGUUGUGAGACCUUGUUGAUUGGAAAUGUGAGAUCAGGACGUGUGUAAUUAUGGGAUUUUGAAACACAUCGAUGAUCUGUCUAAACAGUAUUGGUUAUUCGAAUGGCACGUACUGGCUGUUGGCUUCACAUUCGAUAAAUUUACCUUGUCCAGGAUCAAAUGAGAUACUGGUGCUUAAUUAAAAACAGGGAACCAUGCAUCUUUGUCGUAAUUAAUAUGAAUGCCCAAAAAAUGGUGUAAAUCUCCGAGCACUUUGAUUUGAAAUAUCUUCGUUUACUGGUCAUUCGUUUGGCGAGCAAAUACGUCCGAUGAACUUGUCAAUAUUAUGUCGUCAACGUAGAUGAGAAAUAGGGCCUCAAUCCCCUCGCCUCUGUAGAAGAAGAGAGAGUGAUCGCUUUUGCUACUUUGAUCUUGAGUCUAAUCAUAGCAUCCCGAAGCCACUGGAACCAUGCCCUUGGGAUUUGCUAGAGUGGUAGAUGGACUUUUUGAGCUGACAUACAUGUGUGGGAAAACCUUUAUUUACGAACUCAGUAUGUUUCUGCAUGAGUACUUGCUCGGAGAGAAUGCCGUGGAAAAAAGCGUUUGAGACGUCCAACUACACGAUAUUCUAUCCUUUUGAAACUGCCCGAGCAAUCGCACUCCUUACAGUCAUCGGCAUGAUUACGGGCACGAAGGUCUCUCCAUAGUCAAUCCCAUCUCGUUGUCGGUAUCCAUUCGCUACUAGACGUGCUUUCCUUCGAUCGAGUGUACCAUCUGGACCCAGCUCAAUUCUUCCGAAAGACCCAUUUGCAAGAGAGCACAUUCUGAUCAGGAGACUGCGCAAUGAGCUCCCAUGUCUGGUUUUCCAUUAAAGCAUUGUAUUCGUCUUUCAUGGCCACUGUCUAAUCCUUGUCUUCUAGAGCCUCGGUCGCACCUGAGGGGAUUGGUAAAGGAGCAGAAAUUUGACAAAUAUAUUUUGGAUUAAGUUUUCAAAUCCCAAUUUGGGACCUUGUAACCAUGUUUUGUCCGUGAAUAUUGAGAGUUUCCUCUGAGGCAUCUGUAUCAAAUAGUUCCCCUAUGGCAGUUGUAUCAUUAACCUAGGUCGGGGGUGCAUUUUCUGUUGUUCCAACUAGGUCUAAGCUUGAAUCGAAACGAGGAACGACGGGCGAUGCUUCUUUCUCGAUAAUGGUCGGAAAACCUGUCAAACCUGGCUCAAGAAACGGAACUGACUCGGUCAAUUGUAAUUUCUGACUUUGAUUGAAAUCUGAUUCAAAAAUCACACAGUCUCUUAAUAUGAUAAUUUCCCCAGAUUUUGGAUUAUAACAGAUAUGCGUACCCUCGGUGGUAUGAUAGAUAGCCAAUAAAUCAGUUCGGUCUAAGAUUAGGGUAAACCAUACAACCGACUACCUGAAUAUCUUGGAAAUUUGGGGCAAAGUUAAACAUUUCUUCAAACGGUGAGUUUCCGUUGAGCGUAGUCUUCGGAGUGCGAUUAUACAAGAAUGCCGCCAUGUGAAAAGCGUAUUGCUAGAACCGAAAUGGAAGACUAUAGUGGUGAAGAAAUACAAGUUCAAUGACGACGAUGUGUCUGUGGCAUCGCCCGUACCCAUCUGGGUAAGUGCAUACGGGCAGGAAAAACGAUGCUCAAUGCCUACUUCAGCAAGAUACAAUCGGAAAGAUCGAAAUAUCCCCCCAUUAUCGGACUGAAUAGCCUUAAUAUUCUUCCCAGUUUACCUCUCGAUGUAUACCCUAAACAAUUUGAAUGAUUGCAUAGCAUCGGACUUGGAUGUUAAGGGAAAAAUCCAGUUGCAUUUGGUGUGAUCAUCCACGUAAUUGACGAAAUAAUAGUGACCGUCAGUGGAUUGUUCAGGAGCCGGUCCCCACAGAUUGACGUAGAUUAGAUCAAGAAGAUAUUUAGAUGAGUUUUCUUGUCUUGAGGGGUGAGGAAGGUGGUGGUGUAGAUCCACAAGAGUGACAGUCGGAAAUUUGAUGUUUAUUUUAUAUUGAUAAAUUGUAUCGUUUUACAAUAUCUAAUGUUAAUUUCGAAGAUUUGUGACCCAGAUGAGCAUGCCAUAAAUCAACCGGAAUUUUUCCAAUGAGAUUGACCUUCGGUUGUGCUGAAUCUCCCAAGUUCACUAAUACAUCCCUUGCCUAUCCUCUUUCACCUGAGCUAUGACAUCUUUAGUUUGCAUAUCAAUCACAUACACAGAUGAUGAGUCGAUGAACAUACCAAAUUUAUUAUCCUUACACAGUUUGUUCACGGAUAAUAAAUUUUGAGAAACAGAGAGGGAACUAUUUGUAGAUCUUUUAUUUCAAAUUCUUUAGAACCCAAUUUGAAAAUCGCAUCUCCUACCUUGGAUGAAAAAAGUACUGAACCAUUUGCUAUUGUAAUUCCUGAAUAUUUCAAGAGAGAAUUAGCAAAUUAUACAAAAAUGCCAUUACCUGAUACAUGACCUUUUGUUCGAAAUCGGGAUUCCAGAGAGCAUUGACUUGUGCCGGAGUUGCAUACACGGUCGAUUUCUUUGCAAUAGACAGUUGUCUUGCGCGAUGUUCCGGUGGAGAAGGGUAUAGAUUUUCAUUGUGCCUAUUGUGACAUGCGAUUGUCAAAUGCCCUUUCUUGCCGCAGAUUUGGCAAGAGACACGUUCCUUAUUGUAGGAUUUCAUCAUAUUUUUAGAUUACAAAGCUUGAGUCAGACCACAAACUUUAGUUUUUAUCAUUUCUUGAUUUAUGAGGUGUACUCGCAUAGUUUGAACUGUCAUGGUGGCAAGCUGGGACGAAAUAAUAGCCACGAUUGACUCAAAAUCAGAGUUAAGACCUCCAAUUGCAUAAAAGAUUAUCUUUGAAUCAGAGAUUACUACGCCCCCUGCUCAAAGAUUUUGAAUCAGUUUAGUUAUUUUGAGAAGGUAAGCCUCCAUUGAUAAUUUGCCUUUCUCAAUUGUCUGAAAAAUCCUUGAGUCGGAUGAAGAAGCAUGGAUCUUUUGUAAUGUGCACCAUACUGAUGCUCAAGAAUCAAGACUGGCCGGUUACCUGUGAUAAUACAACUGAUGAUAGUGUCGAGAAGAUACAACCAAAAAUUAUAUGAUCCUGUUAGAUCUUGAGAUCGUCGUCUAACACGAUCGUGCCUUCAACAUACGGUAGAAGAUCGUAACCAUGCAAGAAGAUUCUGAAUUGUGCUUGCCAGUUGAAGAAGCUCUCAUUCAUAAGUUUCUUAGCAUUCACAUGCUUAAUCUUGACCAGUUUGACCUGCCUAAGGAAGCUGUCGGUGGAAUCAGUCGCCAUGCCUUAUUACAGAAGUAAGAACCGCAGAGGUGGAGUAGUAGAAAUAAACAUAAACGACCCAAGAUCGAAGAGUCUAACUAACGUCUUAUACCAUAUUGUAACUAAAUCGGAGUGAUUGAUUCUAUUUUCACUUUUUCAUACAAUGCUCAUUACAGUAUUUAUUUAUACUAUUAUUUAGUUAGUUACAUCUAACCACAAAUUGUUAGUUUAAUCAAUCUGGAUUAGAUUUGCCUAAUAUGUAACACCCUAGAACCUGGCAAGAUUUCCUUUUGGCUCAUGUACAUGAUCUACGCAUAAGUUACUUUCAUAUGUUAGGUAUAGGUAUUAGGUUCGGUAACAUAAACUCCUAUAAUUGAUCAUCUACUGAGUAACCUAUCAAACUAUUGACACGAUAAUUGAUGGUAUGCUCGAUUCGUACGUAUACCGACUAUCUAUGGACCAGACGAUAAGUUGGGUAUAUAUAGGUAUUCUCCCCCUCCCCAACCUAAGAGGUGAUGCGAUUGGGAAAAAAUAAAAAAUAAAAAUACUCUGCUUCAUCAUUAGGUCUCUAUUUAGACAUACUUUCAUUUGCCAAAAUCGUAGGAUAACAAAAAAAAUCACCGAAAAUCCCCAAAUUUUGGCUAUUUUUAAGAGUAAAUGCCUGAGUGUCAACCUGGGAUGAUUCUUUUGUGAACUGAGGUCCCACACCUUAGUGGACCAUUCAUACUCUUUUUACCCACUAGUUUAGGUAUUUUAUAAUUAAAUCAUAAAGUUAAAGAUAAUGUAUGUUAAGAAAAUAUAAUAUGUAUUUUUAUAAUUAAAACCCUAAACUAUAUUAAUAUAUUAUAUAAUAUAUGUUAUAAUUUCCGGAUCCGGAUCUGGCUAAUUAGGACCCAGAACCGGAUACAGACUAAUUAACGGUCAGGUCCAAAAUGUUUAAUGGGGCUAAAAUCAAUCCCAGACCCAAACGACCGGGUCCACCCAGACCCAUUUGUUGGAUCGAGAUCUGAGGCUAUAAGGGGGGAUAAUAACCUCUUUUUCGAUUAGGCAGGUUAAAUGCGGAAUUACCUGCAAAUACUUGAUACACAAAUGGUUGAAUAACAAUAAAAAGAUUAUAAUAUUAUAUCUUACAAUAUAAUAUUAUAUAUAUUUAUAUUCAUGCCUUUUCUCUUCAAAGCUUACUACAGUAUAUGAAUACUGAGUCGGCUUAUUAGAUAGUGCUUUAUAAACAACUGUAUUAUAUAGAUACUAAGUUAUAUUAUAAGUGCAUGUUAUAGUAUUAGAGUAAAGGACUAGUGAACUGGAUAUAAGAUGAUAAGUAAAUAACUGACCAGAUAACUGGAUAUAUAUGAUAAGUAAAUAUCUGACCAGAUAACUGGAUAUAUAUGAUAAGUAAAGAGUUGACAAGAUAAAUGGAUAGAGAUUUGAACAAUAAAUAUAACCUCAGAUACUUGACCAGAUAACUGGAUGAGGGAUCUGUAGAAAGUAGUCAACCUCUAUACUUGACCAGAUAACUGGAAGAGGGAUCUUUUUUAUUAAGUGUUGCUUAGACAAUAAAUAAAACUAAAGUUAACAAAGAAAAAUACAAAAUAUUUAUACUGGUUCACCCAAACAAGGGCUAGUCCAGUCCUGACAAACUAUCGGAAUUCACUGGCCUAAAGGUAAUGGCAAAACCUUAGAGUAUCAAGGAAACUCUUAAGAAUCUCUAACUUUUACGGGUAAGUUAGUACCUUAGAGUAUCAAGAAACUCUUAAAAACCUCUCUAAGCUUUAAGGCUACUUCGCUUAAGAACCAGUCUUUUACGGGUAGACUCACACCUUAGAGUAUUAUGGAACUCUUAAAAACCUCUAACUUUUACGGGUAAGUUAGGACCUUAGAGUAUUAAGGAAUUUUUAAAAUCCUUUCUAAAUCUUUCAAGGUAGAUUUCACCUAAGAGUUUUUCCGGAAACUCUAUAAAACCAAACAAGAGUUUUUUGGUUGAGCUCAAAAACCUUCUCUCACACUUUGAUGAUAUUGAGACAAACCUCUCAACCAAUGUGGACACACACAAGUGAGGAUUAGAGGAGUGGAAUGUUUAAAGCACACAAAACUUCUUACUUGUAAAGAUGAACAAGAAGGUUAGAAUUAGAAGUUGGAGUGCUUUGAAGCUUUUAGAAGCUUGGACACUUGAGAGCUUUUGGAAGCAAGAACACUUUGUAGAUCUCAAGAUAUGGAGUGGAAGCUCUU
RNAcentral lists this long non-coding RNA (88028 nucleotides) under Zostera marina. Its description in RNAcentral is "long non-coding RNA (ZMAR_LNC005185)". The record is from RNAcentral. Lineage: Eukaryota; Viridiplantae; Streptophyta; Magnoliopsida; Alismatales; Zosteraceae.